CUGCUGAGAAUACCUUUAAUGAGGAAGAUGUUUCAUCUGUUUUAGUAGAAGCAGGAGUUUGGUUUGAAGAGCAGACUAUUGUUGAAGUUCUUGGUUUUGUGGUAAACUGAGAACUAAACUUAGAUGAUGUUGAAAUGGGUUUUGAAAGGUUUGCAGGAAUUGUGAGAGACAUGGUGUUUUCUCCUCUCUCUUUUUAUGGUAUUAUUUUCAAGAAAAAAAGAGAGGAAGGAGGAGUGGAUUGGAGUGUGGAGAGUGAAAGGAUGUUUUUUUAGGAUAUUUGGAAGAAAGGAUUGGUAUUGAAGAGAGAGGAUAAAGGAGUUGAAGGGGAGCUUAGGUGGAGGGAUUUGAUUGGCUAAUUGAGUUGGAUUUUGUGAGAUUGGUGGAUUUUGCUGAAACUUUAUCUAUCUGUGAAAGAGCAAGAACCAGGGAUGUAACAGAUACAGAUACGCCUCCUUCGGAGCCAUAUUAUCCCUUGGAAUAGCUAGUAAGUUGCUGCCCACGUAAUCAGGAGGUCAUAAGUUCAAGUUUUGAAAACAGUUUCUAAUAAAAAUACAAGGUACGACUGCAUACGAUACACCCUUGUGGUGGGGCCCUUCCCUGGAUACCGCGCAUAGUGGUAAUUUUAGUACACUGGACUGUCCUUUAUUGGCAAAAUGGCUAAAUGGAUCCUUGUACUAUGUUCGUUUUGUAAUGUGAACACUUCUACUUACAUGUUUGUCAUCUGAAUCGUUGAAUUAAUUAAAAAGUAAUAUUUUAAGCCCUUUAUCGGUCUACUCCUUUGAACGUGUUGCACAAUCACGAACAUGUCAUCAAAUAUUUGAAAAUAAUUUUCACAUAUGAAAUAACGUGUCCAAGGUAUAAAUAGAAAAGUAAGUCCGAAAAAUUAAGUCAUUUUAGACCCUUCUUCUUCGUCUCUUUCAUCCAAAGUUUAAAAUUUCCCCUAUUUUAACUUAAUUUAGGUAGAUUGUUGUUGGUGGUUGUUGCAAUCCGUGUAAGUAUUUAAUAUUUUGUGGUAACUGUAGUAUUUCGUAGUUUAUUUCAGGCUCUUUUGUCGAUGUAAUGAAGUCCGUUUUAGUAAUUUUAGGAUUUUCGCCAUUAUGAACUUUUUUUUCAAUUUUUUGGGUGGUUUUGCUCUAUUUUAUAUCUAGUGUUGUUGUAGGUAGUAUGUGUAGUGGUGAUAUGCCUUCAAUGACAUAUUUUGAAAUUUUGAUCAAAAUUUAGAGUUUUUUCGUAAAAUGGUAAUUGGGUUCGAAAAUUUUUGAGCUUUUAAUUUUUUUUUUGUUGUCUAAUGCUCCUAUUAUACCUAUAUAUUACAGUUUUGUGCCUUCAAUGGUGUAUUUUAUUAUUUCGAUUACAUUUUAAAUUUUUUUUGGUAAAUUUAAAAUUAGGUUCGAAAAUUUUGGGGCUUGUGAAUUUUUUGUUGUUUAAUGCUCCAAUUAGAUGUGUGUAUAACAGUUUUGUACCUUCAAUAGCAUGUUUUGUUAUUUCGAUUACAUUUUAAAGUUUUUUUUUUUUGAUAAAAUCAGAAUUGGGUUUCUUAUUCCUUUAUUUUUUCUUUAAAAAUUAGGUCUUUAUGGAUAAUUAACUAAUUAUAUAUAUUAUCUUGUCAUUGUACAGAUUUUCUAAGUAAAUGGACACAAUUGUAACAAUUCAAUUCACCUAUAGGGGGGUCUUUUUGUCAGACCCUGAUCUAAGGUAUGCAAAUGAAGUUUGUAUUCUUGAAAAAAUUAGAGUAGAUGUAGAUGAGCUUCAUAUUAUGUUAUUUCAUAACUUAGCAAUAGAUUUAGAUAUGGAAAAAAAUAAAACUUUUUGAUGUAGAGUAAAUAAAAAGGGUUAUUAUUAUAUGUUAGAUAGUGAUGCUGAUGUUUUAAGAUUUAUCAAUAGUUUAAAAGUUGGAGAUUUUGUUAAUAUAUAUGUUGUUCACCAUAUUAGUGAACUUAUAGUUGUUAAUGAAGAUGUGACAGCUACUCCAUCAUUAUUACUACUUAGCAAUAGUAAUGUGGCAGCCCCUUUUAAAACUGAUAAGGUUGUGUGUCUUCAUCUCAUCCGUUGAAUAUAAAUGAAGAUGAGUAUAUAAAUGAAAAUCAGCCUCCUAAGGCAGACAAAGGAAAAGCUAAGGUUUCUUUAGAAGACUUAGGGGAAAGUCAAGUUAAUGAUUUCUCCACAUACCACCUUCAAACAUCUGAUUCUGAAUUAAAUUUUCAGACCACUGAUUCUGAUGUUGAUUCACUUUAUGAUAUUAAUGAAAAUAUUGAAGAGGAGUGAUUUUGACAAAGAGUUGCUUUAAGUUAGGAAGUCUAACAUUGAAAAACAAGCAAAAGAAAAGGCUGAUAGGGUAAAUCUAGAUGAGAUACCAUCUGAACUAGUAGGUAUAAAUGCUGGUUUUGAGGAAAUUUGUAAGAACAAGGGGGUUAGAUAUGAAAGUAAACUGGGUAGGGAUGACCCUUAUUUUGGUAGUUUAAAUUCGAAUAGUAACAUUAGUGAAGAGGAAGGAGAUCAUGUUGAUGAUGAUGAACUGGUAGAUCCACUACCUAGAACUUCAUCUAGCAAGAUCUACUUUGAUGAAACUGCAAAGAAGAUAUAUUUUUAGUUGUACAUGAUUUUUUGAAUGCUGUUGAAUUUAGAGAGGUACUGCAGACUUUAUUCAAAAAAAUGUGAACCUUAAAUUAAAACCUAAUAAAAAGAAAAGAGUAAAGGCAAAGUGUAAGCAUAAGGAUUGUUCUUGGGUUAUUCUUGAAAGUGUUGAUAACACAAAAAAUUUUAGUGUGAAAACAUACUUUCUUAUCCACAAAUGUUCUAAAAAGACAAAAAAUGAGAUGUGAGUGAUUCAUCAAUAAAAUUGCAUCAGAUUCAAACACUUUUAAGAAAGGACUAUGGAUUGUAUGUUAGUAAAACAACCCGUAGAAAAUCAAAAAUUAAAAUUAUGAAUGAAUAUUUUGAUGAUUUUGUUGAAGAGUUUGCUAGGUUGUAUGACUAUGCUGAAUAGUUAGGAUCACCAAUCCUGAUACCACUGUAUCUACUAGAACAUCCAAGAAUUCAAUUCCAAGGUGGUUAUAGGCAUUUAUAUUUGUCUUGGGGCCUUAAAAAGUGGAUGAAAAGAGGGUUCUAGAAGAAUAAUUGAUUUAGAUGGUGCCUUUCUCGAGGGUGUAUAUAAAGGUAUCUUGUUGUCUUGUAUUUUCAAAGAUAAAAAUAAUCACAUGCAUCCUGUAGCAUGGGCAGUGGUUGAUAAAGAAACCAAGGACAUAUGGUCUUGAUUUCUUAGGUACAUCAACCAUAAUUUGAAACUUCGAGAAAAUGGGGGUAAAGGCUUGACAUUAAUAUCUGAUAUGCAGAAGGUAUGAAGUGUCAUAUUUUUUUUAGUUAUUUUUUCAAUUUGCUUAGUGAUGUCAUGAAUGUUUAACUACUGUUUUACAUGUUUUGAUAGGGUCUUCAUUUGGCACUUACUAAGCUACUGUCAAAUGCUGAGCAUAGAUGUGCUAGACAUAUAUGGGCAGACUGAAAGCAGGUUUGGAGAGGUGAAAAAAGAAGGAAAAAAUUCUAGCAGGUUGCAAGGGCUCGAUUUAAAGUGUAUUUACAACAAAAAACUUAAUAAAAUGAGUGAGUUAGAUGUUGAAAUUGUGAAAUACUUGCUCAAAUACAACAAAGAGGCAUGGUGUAGGAUUUUUUUUUAAAGAAUAUAGCAGGUGUGAUGUGGUUGAGAACAACAUGUAUGAAACUUUCAAUAGUUAAAUUUUAGCUGCUAGGUUCAAAACAAUUAUCACUAUGUUGGAGAAAAUAAAAUGCAAAGUCAUGGAAAGAAUGAAUCAAAUGAGAAAUUUUUAGAAAAAUGAAUCAGUGAUGUAUCACCAAUGGAUAUGAAAGUUCUUGUAGAGAAUAAUAUGCAAUCAAGUGUGAGGUAAGGUUUAAUGGUGAUAUAGGCUUUGAGAUUGGUGAUCCACCAUAAACACAUGUUGUUAAUGUGAAGAGGAAGGAAUGUAGUUGUAGGUCAUGGCAACUAAAGAAAAUUCCUUGUGCACAUGCAAUUGUUUCAAUGCAUUACAAGGGAUAGAAUGUGGAGUCAUUUGAUAAGCACUGGUAUCAAUGAAAAACAUACUUGAAGGCAUAUGAUAAGUAUAUUCAACCAAUGACAAAUAUAAAGAUGUAGCUAAGAAGCACAAGACCACUAAUUGAGUCACCUGAGAUUACUGCCAUGCCACGAAGGUCAAGUAAAAAUAGAAAGAAAGCUAAGGAUGAGUCUAUUAAGAAAAAGUUUAGGAAGGCUACAAAAAAAGAAAGAAAAAUGACAUGUUUUGUGUGCAAGUCUAUUGGAGACAACAAGAAAGGAUGUCCAAUUUUGGUAACCUAAAACUUUUCUUAUUGAUGAAUUUUACUCUUUUUGAAUGUGUUUUUGAUCUUUAAAUAUUUUUUUGUAGAAAAAAGAUUUCAGUAGUAGCUGUGGCAGUCAACCAAGUGUGCAAGCUGGUGCUAGUACUGUUGCUGCUGAGAGACCUGCAAAUGCUUCAGCAGCUGAAGACAUGCCUGCAAAUGCUAAACCAAGAAACAGAAGGCCUGCAGGAAGGCCAACAAAUGCUCACCGUGUACCAAGAGCUGCAGAAAGGCCUGCAAAUGUUGCAUCAGUUGGUGGUGUGAGGCCUGCAAGUGCCUUAACAACUGAUAUAAGGCCUGCAACUGUUGUGAUUCCUGCAACCACUUCACCAGUAGAUGAUAAUACUACACAAUCUACAACUCAGUAGUCUACUAGUGGUGUUGGUGUCCAAAAGAGGAGGACUAGUACAACUUUGAGAGGUGGUGCAAAUCUUGCAUAUAAAAGAUCAAGGCAAAACAAAAUUAAUUUUGUUGUGCUGUUUGGACUAAGUGGCAACGUAGUGGAGAGGGUAAAUUUUCUAUCAUGUAAUUUUCAUUUAACUGGUAUUAAUUAGUGUAUCUAUAACUGAUUUUUUUUAUUUUUACAGUUUGAAAAUACUGAUAGAGUGUUACAUAAUCCAACACUUAUUAGUUCAGUUCCAAUCAAUAUUGACUUGGGUUUCAAACCAAAUAGACUGAGGCGGAAAGGUGGAGCUGCAGUAACUCAAAGACAACUACAAGAACAGAGUUACAACAGAUAAAACACAAAAUCAUCUACAACCACUCAAGCCACAUCAAGCACUCAAGCCAGCAAGAAUCAGGCCACAACAAGCACUCAAGGAACACAUUAGUGUAAUUCUCUUUUUGUAUUGAUCCCAAGUGUUGUUAAGAUAAUUUUUUAAGACUUCUGAUGCAUUUCUCAUUAAAGAUGUUGUUAAGACAAGUUUUUUCAUUUCAACUCUUGCUAACACAUUAUAUAUUGAAGAUUUCUAAGUUGGCAAAAUGGUGUUUGUCAUUAAAUUUGAAUUUCAUUUUCAUUGUACAUUGCAACUACAAAAAUUAAGUCAUCUUAAAUAUAAUAGAUAGAAAUCAGAUGACAACAAUAAUAAUAGUGAUAUCAAUGCUAGUGCUUGAUCUUUCAUGUCUUUCAUACCUUUCAUAUCUUUCCAGUCCUUCUUGUCUUCGUUGCCUUCUAUGUCUGCCUUUAUAUUAUUUAUUUUCAUCAGCACAUCAAAAGAAUCCACAAUCAUUAGCAACUUCAUAUUUUUGACAGCUCCAAAAUAUUUUUUCGGGGUUGAUUGGUAUUCUUGAAUCUUAAUUUCAGCGUAAAGCCCACAAUAACAUACCCGAACUGUCAUGGUGUUGUGAAAAAUUACAUAAGAUAUUAACAUUCCAAUAUUACAAACAGAACAGGAAAAAAAAUUAAGAAACAAGAACUUAGAGAGAGAAAAAUGGAGAAGAAGGGAGAAAAAAAAGCUCAAAUUGCUUCAAUAAUGAUGUUGGAAGCAUAUGAGGAAGAAGUAGCAUUUAUAAGGACUUUAUGACUGUUGGGGGACUUUUUUCGAUGGCUUACGUGCGCUUGAAGGCUAAACUAUUUGCUCCUAUGUGAUUCCAGCCACAUUGGAUGCCACAUCAAAAAAAAGUAUUUAAAAUGUUCAUUUUUAGUGGGUUCAAGGAUUCAGAUGAUAAACAUGUAAGUAGAAGUGUCUACAUUACAAAACAGACAUAGUACAAGGGUCCAUUGAAUUAUUUUGCCUUUUAUAUUUCAAUCUUUCUUUCUCACUUAUAUUUUUAGCUCUUAUCUUAAGGGGUGUUUAGCCAUAAAAGUUUUAAUAUUUUUAGAAAGAUCAUGUAAGAGUAAAAAAUAAUAUUUAAAAAUUAAAAUUGUGUUUUGAUCAUAAAUAUAAAUUGGAGGCGUUUUUGAAUUACUUUUCAAAUUUCAAUUUUUUGAAAAGUAUUAUCACAAGAUCAUAUACAAAAAAAUUGAUUUUCACUAAGAGAGUUAAAAAAAUUGUAUUGCUUGAGAUUUGAAUUUAGAAUUUAAAGUGAAUUUUGAAUUUUCUAAACUAUUGAUCCUACUCUAAUUUAUUGUUUAGGGUAUUGAAAAAAAAAAACUAUAUAGCUAGACAUUAAUUCUGCUAAUAUAUGCAGUAACGAGAUGAGCCUCGCCAUAGUACCAAAUUUAUAUGAAUUUAUUUAUGAUUAAUUAGGAGUUGUUAGAUUAAAAAAGUGAACAAAAAUGAAAGAGUUGAAAAAAAAAAGAGAAAUAUGAAAAAAAGAGUGGCUAGCCAAGAUUUUGUAGUUAUAUAGUUUUCUUUAAACAGUCUAUAGCAUCAAUGAUUUAGGAAAUUUAAAAUUCACUUUAAAGUUCUAUAUUUAAUCUCAAGUAUUUUUUUUUUUUUGAUUAUGAGUAGCAUCAAUGAUUUAGGAAAUUUAAAAUUCACUUUAAAGUUCUAUAUUUAAUCUCAAGUAUAUUUUUUUUUUGAACUCUUUUAGGAGUCGUUUGGUACACUGAAUGUGAUAAAUAAGAAUAUCUAAGGUGGGAUAUUUCAUAAGAUUAUUUUAUUCAUCUCUCUCCGUGGGACAGUAAUCUCAUUAUCUUAAUAUAAAUGGUGGAAUAAAAUAAUUUUGAAAUUAAGUAAUACCUUAUAUCAAAUAUGGGAUAAAGUUAAUUCUAAAUUUUAUCCCAAAAUUAUUUUUUAUCCCUUCUACCAAACGAUUCCUUAGUGAAAAUCCACAAUCUUUUCAUAUCUGGGUUUGUGAAAAUAUUUCAGAUAAAUUAAAAUUUAAAAAAUAGCAAAAAUUAUUUCUAAUCUAAGUUAUUCCUAAAAACUCAAAAACACUUGCAAUUCGUAUUUAUGAUCAGACAUAACUUUAAUUUUUAAAUAAUAUUUUUUACUUUUAAAUAAUUUUUAAAAAAUAUUUACACUUUUCAUGACUAAACACUCCUUAAAAUAAAAACUAAAAUUUGAGUGGGGAAGAUAGAAAUAUAAAAUAAGGAGGCAAUAUUCAAAAAAAAAAAAAACAGGAAACAGAAGGAAAUGUGAGGAAAUAUUGGGAGAGGAACAUUUGCUAAUACAAUGGACCCCACAAGAACAUAUGUCAAAAGCAAAAAGACCCUUACAUAACUAUUGUUGGGUGAGCCUCACCCAUUUUAUAAUUUUCCAUCACCGAAACUACAGAUCAUAUGCUACUGUCAUUUGCACUUUUUCCCUUGAAAUAAAUAAUAUUUUAUAAGUUUAUAAUCAUUUUAUAAUAAUAUUUCAUGAGUUAUGGUCCUCUCCUAUAAGGUAGUUGUCCCAGUAGAUAUAAUUUCAAUUGCGAAAACUCAAAAUUCGAUGGGCGAAUUGCAAUUAAAUGACCUAAUUUGUCAUGUCAUUUGAGGACAAAAUGUUUGCAUGGAUUGUUCUUGUUUUAAAGUGGUUUUCAAUUUUUGCAAUCAAAAUAAUAUAGUUGAAUUUGUUUAAGUGUUUUAAGGGCACGCGAGUUAGAUUGAUUAUAAAAAUGAAAUAACAAUGAAAUGAAUCACAGCAACAAGAUGUAAUGAAUACAAAGCAAGAAAAUAAUUAAAUUAGAUCCUAAAAUUGGGCCUAGGUGGCUUUGGUAUUCUCUGUCCGAAAGCUGAUGAAUUGAGAAACUGAGAGCCUUUUCUUAAGAAGAGAAAGUAUGUAUGAACAAGUGUGUCUUGUAAAAACUUUCAGAGCCUCGAAUGUUUGAUUCCUAAGUGUGUCACUGUCUUCCAGUUGAGCAGUAGCACUUUGGUUGUCGGGUUGGAAAGAUUAUCUUAUCAUCAUUACUAGUUACUGUUUCUGUAUCAAGAUUCUACCUUUCUGAAGUUAGACAGGCCAUGUUAGUAAGGCCGGUACCAAUGUCGAGUAUUAUAGGAUCCCUCCAAAAUUGGACAUCACUCCGAGCUCGGUCUUUUGGAAGGGUUCUUCUGGUGCUCCCCAAUAGUCCCUUCAUAGUCAGACGCAUGUAUCACAUCUUUCAUGUCUUUUUUUUUUGCAACAAAUGUGAAUAUUAACAUCAACAAAACAGUCAUAUAAAAAUAAUUUUUUUUUAAUUUGAGUCUCAUAUGUCAUGUAAUAGUUGUAUGAGGUCUUUAAUAUUUGACGAAAUACAUAUACAGGCCCUUGAAAUAUUUCACUUUUCCCGUUUAGACACCUAAAUUAAGAAAGGUACCUAUUGAACCCUUUACUCCUUCAGAAAUGGUUUCAAUUGAGCCCAAUUCUCCGAUGUGGCAGUUUGCGUGUACUCACAUCUGGGAGGCGCGUGAAAUGUCAUGGAACCAGCUUAUGUGGCACCCAACGGAUCUUUUAUCCUCUUUUUAUACCCAAUUUCUUAAAAAAAAAAAACCCUAAUUCCCACUUUCUUCCUCUUUUUAUACUCAAUUCUUAAUAUCCACCAUUUUUGUCUCCUAAAUUCUCCUUCUCCUCUUAAAUUUCUUUUCAGCCUUUUCUCUUGCUUCGCUUAAACUCUCCUACUCUUAUUAAUUUCUUCUUCUUACUCGUUUUUAGUAGUAAUAUCCAAUUCAUCUUUUUCAUUGUCUUCAUCUUCUUUAAUUCCAAAAGGAGUAUGUUUAUGUGGGGUGAAAGCUGAAAUUAAGACCUCGUGGACACAACUCAACACUAGUGGGAGAUUCUUUUACUGCAAAACUUCAAAGGUAUUCAUCUUUUGCUGCUUCAUUGGACGAAAUGCAAUUACUUCGAUUAGUGGAUGCAAUUUUUUAAUUUAAUUUUUUCUUUAAACCUGUAGGCGAGAGGUGGAUGCAAUUACUUUGAUUGGUAUGAUGAUGAAAUGCCCCCUCAAGCAAAGAGGGUGAUGUGGGGUUUAUUAAAAAAAUUCAAAUCAUUUGAAGAAGAGAGGAAUCGAUCAAGAAAAUUUAAAGUGAUAUGCGUUGGGGCGAUUGUGAUUUUGGCUACAUGGAAUUUCUUCAAGAAAUGUUCUUAGAUUUUGACAAAUAUUGGCUUAGGUUUCUUAUAUAUAGGACUGUUUUGAUUUGGAUAAUUCUGAAAUAUAUUAGUUGUAUUGGGACUGUUUUGCUUUGGCUUUCUUGUUGUAGUGGGAUUGUUGUGUAUGAAACAAUUAAGAAGGAAUGAAGAUAAGUUGUGAAAUGUUACUCUCUUACUAUGUUUUGAUUUUUCUUUACUUUUGUAAUUGGUUUAGUUAGAUUAUUGUACUCUAUUUUUUUAGAGUUCAAAUAAUUCAUUUAAAUGAUUCAAAGCUGUCAAAUGUUUAACACAAAAGGAACUACCAUUCAAUAAUUAUAUAAAGCACAAGUGCAACUGAUCGACAUUUUAAACACAAUAAUCUACCAUUCAACUGCUCAAAAUGAGCUCCAACCAUACAUCAAGUGUUCAUCCAAAACUAAUCUAAACAAACCACAAAAAAUAGUUCAGAAUCUUUAAAAAUCCCAACAAAAUACCAAAGUAGCCAUACAACUAAUAACCAAACUAUACAUUGUGCUAAAAACACAAUUAAUUCAACAACUUCAGAUUCCUCCUGGUGCACUAGAACUUUCAAGUUGGCUUCUUUUUUUACUGACUCAUACUCUGCAAUUGAGAAGUUGUGACGACAUUCUUUUCCUUCCACUUCAUUCCUCGAGGCUUAUAACCAAUAUCAAUAUUUGUUUGAGUUACAUCUUUGUAAACACCCAGAGUGACAACUGUUUCACUUCUAGUUCCAGGUUGUAUAAAAUGAAGUAAAAUUAGAUUUGUCAAAAGAUAAUUAAAAAUUACAUGAAUUGAAGUUGUAAUUCACACUUACAUUUAAUGUUUUACUGCAACUCAUUUGAUCAGUGUAGAUACCAAAUCCUACUGUCUUAGACCUCUUUUGUCCUACUGAUGAUGUUGAUGCUCCAAUGGUCAUUUUUUCCUUAAGUUGCUGAUCAGAUACACUUUCUUUUCCUCUACUUCUGCCAGUGCCUCUUCCAGAUCCUUUGCCUUUGCCAGCUCUCCUACCUUUGUCAGUAUCUCUACCUCUACCUCUACCUCUACCUCUUCCAGCUGGCUGCACUCUUAUAACUGCUGAGGUAUCAACACACAUAGAACUGCUGAAGCUUGGUUGCUGGCUGAAGCUUGGUGGCCUGCUAGAGCUUGGUGGCCUGCUAGAUCUUGGUGGCUAGAUGAAGCUUGGUGGUUAGCUAAAGAUUGGUGGCCUGCUAAAGCUUGGUGUCUUGCUAGAGCUUGGUGGCUGUCUGAAGCUUGGUGGCUGCUAGAGCUUGGUGGCAUGCUAGAGCUUGGUGGUUGGGUAGAGCUUGGUGGCCUGCUAGAGCUUGGUGUCCUACUAGAUCUUGGUGGUUGACUGAAGCUUGGUGGCCUGCUAGAGCUUAGUGGCUGGCUAAAGCUUGGUGGCCUGCUAGAACUUGCUGCGUGGCUAGAGCUUCCAGGUUGUCCCAUUCCAUCUUAACAAUAAAGGAUAUUAAAUAUAUAUUAUAAAUAUCAGAAUUUAAUUAUUGAAUUAAAAGAUAUGAGUGCAUUACCUGAGCUUUACAGAGAGUUCUGCUAUGACCAAUUUGAUGACAUUUGGAGCAAGAAAUUUUCAGUCCUUUCCAGGAUAGCUUCCCAUAUUUCUUCUUAGGCUCAUUCUUCCUUUUUUUCUAUUCUUUCCUGGUCUGCUAGGCAUUCGUCUAGGCUCAUGAGGAUCAAUCACUACACCACUUGUGUUAGGCUACAUUUCCAUAUUAGAUAUUGGCUGAAGAAAGUAGUCAUAAGCCUUCAAGAAUGUAUCUUUCUUAUACCACUCUUCCACAUAAAAUUCAGGCUCUAUACCUUUAUGCUGAUAAGCCAAUACAGCAUGUUGACAUAGUAUGCCUCUCAAUUUCCAGCUUCUGCAAGUGCAAGUCCUUGUCCUAAUAUUAACUAUAUGCCUAUAAGGACCAUCUAAAAUUCCAUACCCAAUCUGUCCAUUGAACCUCACUGUGCAAUUUCUAGCCAUAUCUUUAUUUUCUUCAAGUACUAGCAAAGCCAUAAGAGAGAUGUCUGAAAUGCAGGUAUUAACAAACUUCCUCAUUUCAACAUUUCUAUCCAUUAUCUUAUGUCUAAUCUCCUCUAACAUACAGAUUAUAGAUUUAUGUCUAACAGCUAAAAUUCAUGAAUUAAAAGUCUCACACAUAUUAUUCUCAACAAUGUCACAUUUAGAAUACUCCCUAAAAUAUGCCCUGCACCAUGAUUUUUUUCAUAAUGUAAUAAGUCCUCACAAAUAUCCUUACCAAGUUGACUGAGUUUGCCCAUCUCAUCCAAAAACUUCACUUCAAAACUGGAUUUAGCACACCUCUAAAAUUAUUUUCUUCUUUCUUCUCCUCUCCAGAUCUGAUGUCAAUUGGACCAGAUGUAUCUUGCACACCACCUCAUUUCACAAUCUGGUAACAACUCAAGUAUAGUAGGUACAAGACCUUACAUCAGUAUAAAUACAAAAUAAAAACACAAAAUAUAUGAACAUGGAAUGUAUAGUAAAUAAAUAGAAGACAUCAAAAUUAAAUUUUAAAAAGUAGACUAACCUUUUGCAUAUCUGACAUGACAGACAGAUCAUGUUCAAUGCCUAAGUUCAAAUCUUGAAUCAAGUGGUUAAUGAAGAAACUCCAGCUAUUUUGUCUUUUGAUCAACCACUGCUCAGGCUAUUGGAUACAUUUGAUUAUUUCCAUUUCUCCCAACUGCAACUAACAAUUCACCCUUGCAAGAACCUUUCAAAAAACAACCAUCUAACCCAAUAAUUUUUCUGCACCCUGCCAGCCAGCCUCUCUUUAAUGCAUCAAAGCACAAAUAAAAAUAAAUAAAUAGAUUUUUUCCAAGUUGAGACUCUCUAUCUAUCCUCACCCAACAAGAACUGUCAGGAUUAAUAUGUUUUAUCAUGUCUGCAUAGUCACACAACCUUGAAAAUUCCAUCUUCCAAUCACCCAAGAAUUCUUUAAUGAUUCUAUGCUUUGCCUUGCUACAAAUAGUUUUUUCCACAUACAAACCCAAUUUUUUUCUCACCAAUUCCUGAAUUUCCCACAGUUUUAUAUAAGGUUGUAAAGUUAUUUCAUCUUUGAACUUACUUACAAUAAAUUUAGAUGUGCACAAUUUAUUUUUAUAGUAGUAGUGCAUACAUGUACAGGAUAGUAGUGCUUGACAACAGAGUCACCAGAAUGCUUAUCAAUACUAGCAAACAACAACCAUUUACAUUUCUUGCCCUUACACCUAACUCUAACUCUAUGUUUCUCAUUAGGCUUAAGCUUCAAUCUAACUUUGUAUUCAACAGCAUACUCAACCACAACCUUUCUAAAUUGCUUAGCAUUUUCAAAUAUCAUACCAAGCUCAAAUAUAGCCACAACACAAUCAGAAUCAAAUCUUACUUUUUUUACUUUUCCUUUUUGCUGAUAAAUCAACACCCCUGACAGUUUCAGGUUCCAGUCCAUCAGCACUAUCAUCACUAUCAACUUCAAAGCUAUCUAUAUACUUAUCAUCUCCCCCUAAUCUUCUACUGUAUCUAGCAGUCUUAUUCCUUCCAAUAUCUUCAAAUCCCCUAUCAACACCUGCUGAUCCAAGUUUUAUUUUUUCAUUUUGGACAGAUUUCUUUUGUUUCACACAGUUUCUCCUUUCAUUUCUAAGAGUUCUUAACUCUUCAUCAUCCUCAGAAUCGUCAUCUUCUGGUAUAUUAAACUCUUGAGAAUCAACACUACUAUCAAGAUCUAUUUCAGCCCCUUCUAGAUCUGAGAGUUCAUCUGCACCAGAUUCUAUAUCUAUGUUGUCAGUUUGGGUAGGUUCCUCAUGUAACCCUUCAACAUUAAUAUCAUGAACUGUUGAUAUGUUCUUACCCACAUUACUAUUUUCACCAACCACAUUACUACUUUGAUCACCUACUGUACCACAAAGAAAACCAGAUGGGACCUCAUCUUCUACCACUUCUACCUCAUCCACAACAUGGUUCAUAUACAAGUCUAAAAAGUCCCCAUCUUCUAGGUCUUCAACAAGACUUACCAAAGUCAAGUCAUUUUCUACUUCAAUAAAGACUUUCUUUUUAGGGUCUUUAAAGUAGAACCCACCAACAGUCAUAUACCCAAAUUCUUUAGUAUAAUAAAACAACUUGAAUAUAGAAAAGUGGUCUUUGUUCGUACUUACAUAUUCCACCUCACUUUCUCCUAUGUAGUGUGGACCAUAUUCUUCAUCAGAAACAAACUUGCCACCAUGGUGAAAAUGAGUUGUAAUAAUAAUAUUAGCCAUUAGAUUCCUGAAACAAAAUUCCAAAAAUACCUGACAAGUUAUGAAUAGUAAAAACCCUAAAAAAAUCCUAGCUUUUUUCGGAUAUUCCCAAACUACAAUUACUAACGUAAUAUACUAACAAAGAACUAAUAAAUCAUUUACAACAACAAGACAUGACAAAAAUGUGACAAUAUUGACAUUUGCAACAUACCUGAGUGCGAUUCAAACACAAAACAAUAACAAUUUUUUAGAUCCAACUCCAGAUUCUUUGCAACCAAUAAAGAAAUGUUGAAAUCAGUGUCAAACUUGAACUAAUCACUCAAAAACACUAUGUAACUUUUUAUUAUACAACAAACGAAGCAUAAAUUAGUAGUAUUAGGAGUGAAAUCGCAAUUUUAGGGUUUCUGAUAGAUUUAGGGAUGUGUAUGAGGGAUUUGACGUUAUAAGGAGGGAAACGAAGUAGAAAUUAUCUUUAUGUAUUAAUUAAAAAAAAGGUGGGGUGUAAAAUAUAAUUGGUUAUAAUUGGUCAAAAUCUACACGUAGACGAUGACUACAUACACGCACUUAACACGUUAAAAAAGAAGGCUUUAAAAAGGUGUCAUGUCGGACAAUUGAGCUCAGUUGAAACCAUUUAUGAAGGGGUAAAGGGUUCAAUAGGUAUCCGUCUUAGUUGAGGUGUCUAUACGGAAAAAGUGAAAUAGUUAAGGAAUCUCUCUAUAUAUAUAGCCUUAAUAUUUUGACAAAUUAACCUUUUGGGUCCCACCUUUCGGAGAAUUCUUUCUUAUUUUUUCCUCUUCAUUUUCUUUUCUGUCUCAUUGUCAUUUAACUUUUUUUUCUUCAACAAAUAAUGUUUUGUGCUUUUGCUCUUUCUUUUUGGGUUAUUUUUUACUUAUGGUUUUCUUUAUUUUUCUUCAUUUACCCUAUUUCUUUCCAAUUUUUUUUAGUACUCUUGAUACAAGUAAAUUGAAGGUUUUUCUUUUUCCUUUAAUUUUUUAUUUGUCAAUAUUUAUAUGCAAAUUAAAUGAUACUUACUUUUUUAUUUAUUUUUUUAGUUUAUUUUAAAAAUAUUAUUUCUUUGAUUUUUAGAUAGUAAGGUAAUAUUGUUUCCAUUAGUUAGUGUCUAGUUAGAUUUUGUAAUUAUUUUAAUCCGAAAUAUAAUUUUUGAUAUAUAUUUAAUGAUGUGACAGUUCCUAAAUUUCCAAGAAAAGUUAUUUUAAAAAUUAAAAUCAAUAGUUAGAUUUAUUUAGGACCAACUCAUUCUAAAUUCAAUUCAAUUCUUGAAAGACCGCCUGGAAAUAAUUUUUCUAUAUAGAAAAUUAUCUUAAUGAUUAAAAAAAAAGAUGAUUGCUCUUCCAUUUUUAACAUGCUAAGUAUUAUACAUGUCCUAAUAACAUUGAACCAUGAUAAAUAAUAUUAUAUAAAUUCAAUUAUAAAAAACAGAUUUAUCACUUAUCAAAUUUAAUUUUAAAUUUUCGAUAUUCAAAUUUUUCAACACCAACAAAAAGAGAGUAUAAUAAAAAAUAGAAAUUAUUGUCAUGAUUGAAUGGCCAAAAUUUUAUUUUCUUUUUUUUAACAAAUAUGAACAAAUAAUAGUUGGGAUGAAAAAAAAGAUUCAUUCUACUUAGUACCGAAACAGGAGGAAGAAAAAUCAAUUUGUGAAAAAAGACAAAGAAAGAAUAAAAAACAGUAAACAAAAAAGUAACCAAAAAAAAAGAGCAAAUAAUGUUUUGCCCCAAAAAAGUUAAUGAUCGAAAAAGUAAAAUAAAUAAAUGAAUAUAGAAAAUGAUCUGAUAGUGGGACCCCAAAGUCCAUUUGUCAAAAAAUUAAAGACCUCAUAUUAAAAUUUUACAUAUACAAACUAAAAGCAUCUCGUCUCAUCUCCCACUUCUAGAAGGUUGUACUACUAAUUAGGCCUCCAGGAAACAGAGAAGUGUGGUACAAAAAUUAAUUCGUCUGUCUGCUCUCUUUCUAUCCCUAUAAAAUUCAAUUCUCUCAAUAAUUUCGCAUGUGAUUUGCCCCACUGUGUCUGUACAUAGUAUGUCCUCCUACUUUGCAUCCUUGGAUGAAUACUGGACCUUUAAAUUGAAUCCAGUUCCUUGCUUUCCAGAUGUAAUACACCAUAGUCCCCCAUAAUGCAGCUGCCGCUUCCUUCUUAAACUUCUUCCAAUGCUCUCUUCUAAUCAGCUCAAAUGUAGUCUUCACAUCUCCUGCGGACAGUGAAAUAUUGGAUUAUUAUAUGAGUUCAGCUCUUACCAGUGCAGCAUAUAUAGCCACAGUCAACAAAUAUGUGGCUACUACGCUCUCCAUUGUAGAUGAUUGAAAUAGGCGGCAGUUGACAUUUUCUAUGUACAUGUUCAUAUGUAGUAAUCUUUCCUUCGUAAGCAAUCUGUUCAGCAAGGUAACCACUAGUAAUUGAAUACUUUAGCAGUAAGGAUGAAUUGCCCCCAUGCAUCAGUGUUUCAUUCUAUCCCUUAUAAAAUUUAUUUUCCUCCAACACCAGCUACUUGUUAUUUUCGUUUGUACUUUGGGUACACAGAAUCAGUAUAUGCAGAACAAUAACUUCAACUAGAGUUCAAGUAUAAACAAGAACACAAUGAAGUAUAUCAAAUACUCUCUAACACAAGAUCGAAAUGACCUUUUCAAGAGGUGUAUUUUAUUUUUUCAGAAAUUAAGAUGAAACAGAAAAUAGCCAAGUCAUCCGAAUUCACGAAGUUUCUUUAAGGAAAUAAUUUCCCUCACUGUACCCGAGGUUAUAGAAUUUUUCCUCCUAGAAUAAAAUGGCUAAAUAGAUCAAUUGUAGCGGUACCUCAAACGGUUGGAAUAUCUUCGAACGCACAGGACGUUUUGAUUGAUCACAUAGAGUAAUUUGGAAGACAAGAAGUAAUUUUGUAUUCUGAAAUUUUCAUAUCAAAACCUGUGGAUGAAAGCAGGUUUAUAUAGCCAUAACAUGUCUCUUCUGAAAAUAGGCAAUGGUUCACUCCAAAGGUUACACCUUUGCUGUAAGUUCAUGUCUGUUCAUCAAAGAUUGCAUCUUUUCCUGAAUAGUCAUCUCAUUUCAUGAAUCAGUGUGUCACUUCAUUGAAGGAUUACAUCCUUCUGAAGCAUCAUUUCGAACCAUUGCAACUCAGUUUAAAACAAUAUAUCAUUUCUGAAGCACCAGUUCAAAAACAAUGCAUCAGUUCACUUGAAACAGUGCAACUGUUACUGCAUCUAUAUAUAAAUGGAGAUCCUAAACACUGCAGAAAAAUUUUACUGCGUUUUUCCUUGGCAUUCUUCGGAAUUCAAAUAAAGUUUGUCCAAAAAAAUAGAUCUCAUCGAUCAAUCAUUAUCCAAAUCCAAAGCCAAGCGAGCAACGAUGAAAAUGGCGCAAGACAUCUAUUAUUUCUUGCCUCACUUGCCAUGUGGAAUAAAUGUUCUUGAUUAUAAAUACUUUCAAGUACUCUUCUUCCACCAAUGUGGGAGAAAGAGUAAAUUAUCUAAUUUGGAAGUACACUUUUCAUUUUAGUGUCUCCUUCCCCUCCAUCAUUUUACUCUCCAUUUUUUCAUUCACACUUCUUUCAUAUACUAUGAACCCAACACUACUAUCUGCUGGCUUCUGUGUCCAGAUAGUGUCAGUUUUGAUACAUAUUUCGGGUGCCUACUUCAGCCCCAAAGACUCCUUCUUUACAACUACUUUCCACAAAACCUUGCCUACCGAUGCCAAGUUCCAAUUCUCACACAAUAUUCAAACCACCCUGCUUUUUGGAGACACUUUAUCCCAAGCUACUAGUGCUACCUUCCUUUUCCCUCUAUAAUACCCCACAAGUAAUCUCUAAAUGUCUUAUCUACCUCCUUCACUAUACUAGGGGGAAGGAGAAAAACUGCAUUUUAUUCAUCCAUCUGUCAAGACCGGUUUUACCCCAUACUACCAAAGCGGCCAGCAAAAUUUUGACCAUACUGCUUUGAGCAAAUCUUCCUGAGCAAAAUAAAUGGUCUGAAAUUUCCACUUUCUUAGAGUGGGGCAAGCAAUACAAGAAUCUUGAUUGGAAGAUUAUAUCAAAAUUUUGAGACCUUUUCAUCAGUUGGUACCCUGUCGUAUGAAGCUCCCCACCUUACAAAUGUCAUCUUGAAAAAUAUUAUUGUUUAUGCCACAUUUUUUGGGCACUUACUUGAUUGUUCUUUCUUCUAAAUUAGGAGCUCCCAUGCUGAGGCUAGUGAGAACCUGCCAUUGAUGUUAGCCAACCCUAGUACUCUAUCUGGAGCUGCAUGGAAUAAGGUAAUGUGGUGUUGUGCUACCAUGCCAUAUUGCCAAGUGACAUUGUCAAGUGCCUCCUUAAGAAGGGAUAUUUCCGGCUUUUGCUCCAUCAGGUAAAUGACUAUAGAGCAUUCCCGUUUUUGUUCAGUUGUCAUACCAGAAUGAUGUUUUUACCUUUCCAGGCAGGCAUGCUAUAUUUUCCUUAACUUCAUGCUUUAAGUCACAGAGGGCUCUCCAGCCGUGUGACUGUUGCCCUGAUAAUUUUCAUGGAUCGUACAUGUGAAAUAUUUGGUUUGGGUGGAAAUGAAUUGACUCUCAUCUAAGAGAAAACACACUGCUAGUUAAUUAUAUUAUGUCGCAGCAUUAAUGGAGACACUCUUUAGAUGCCCGGUCCCCUUGCCAGCCACUAGAACUUGGGAGGGCAAUUUCUGUUGAUCCUUGACAAGCCAAAACAAUUUCCAAAUUAAUCAUUUAAAAAAAAAAAACAUUACAGAGCCAAGAAGCCAUCAUCUAACACAAGAUCUAGCAACACUUAGUAUAGAAAAUUCACAAUCUUUCAUUGAUAUAAACAAUUGAAAGAGCAAUUACACGAGAACAUCAAAUUAGACAUUAGAGUCAAUGAGUUCUCCAUUCACUAACUCUCUGUAAGCAGCAACAGGCCAGAUGAAGCCUCUCCAGACGAGCCUGUUAGCCAAUGGAACAUCAAUGAUGAUCUCCUUCAUUGUUGGCUUCUUCUCAUCUCUUAUUGCAAUCAAGUAGCUCCUUCCUACCCACCCAAUCCAUCCAGCAAUGUACAAGAAGAGGAUCCCAGGAGUGAUGAACUCACCCCAGUGCCUCUGGUCUCCACUCACUAUCAGGUGUGGCAGUCCAUCCGAUCCGCACAACAGUCCUUGUUUCGCAUAGUUGUCAAAUCUGCAAUGUCAAUAGGUGAGUGACUUUGUAAGUGAAAUAAAACAUGGACUCGAGUAUCAAGGAGUUGGAAUCAAAUGGAAUGUUCUAUUUUUCUAUGUUUACUUAGUCUAUGUCAAUGACUUAUGCAAGGAAAAGUUGAAAAUCUGUUACAAAAUAACUUGCCAUUCUUUCAUAAGCAAAUUUACUUCGUGCGCUCCUAUAGGGAGAAGGUGUUGAAGGUGGCCUCGUUUUCACACUUUUGGUUGGAUAAACGGAAGCCAUCAUCUAACACAAGAUCUAGCAACACUUAGUAUAGAAAAUUCACAAUCUUUCAUUGAUAUAAACAAUUGAAAGAGCAAUUACACGAGAACAUCAAAUUAGACAUUAGAGUCAAUGAGUUCUCCAUUCACUAACUCUCUGUAAGCAGCAACAGGCCAGAUGAAGCCUCUCCAGACGAGCCUGUUAGCCAAUGGAACAUCAAUGAUGAUCUCCUUCAUUGUUGGCUUCUUCUCAUCUCUUAUUGCAAUCAAGUAGCUCCUUCCUACCCACCCAAUCCAUCCAGCAAUGUACAAGAAGAGGAUCCCAGGAGUGAUGAACUCACCCCAGUGCCUCUGGUCUCCACUCACUAUCAGGUGUGGCAGUCCAUCCGAUCCGCACAACAGUCCUUGUUUCGCAUAGUUGUCAAAUCUGCAAUGUCAAUAGGUGAGUGACUUUGUAAGUGAAAUAAAACAUGGACUCGAGUAUCAAGGAGUUGGAAUCAAAUGGAAUGUUCUAUUUUUCUAUGUUUACUUAGUCUAUGUCAAUGACUUAUGCAAGGAAAAGUUGAAAAUCUGUUACAAAAUAACUUGCCAUUCUUUCAUAAGCAAAUUUACUUCGUGCGCUCCUAUAGGGAGAAGGUGUUGAAGGUGGCCUCGUUUUCACACUUUUGGUUGGAUAAACGGAGGACUAAACGAGUUUUUAUGAGCAUUAUCGGGUUCUAGAAUAUAUAUCAAAAAGGAAUUCUACAUUUUUAUAUUUCGGAGCUUUUUAAUUUUAAGCUUCUUAUCUUACUCGUAUGCUAUCAUAACUAUAAAAAUGUAAUGUCUGAGAUCACAAUUCUAAGAAUACUGAUAAGUGAGACUUGAGCACCUCCACCAAACCGGUAAGUGGGAUCACUGUUAUUCUCACCAAAAGAAGAAUCUAAGAAUACUAGUCUUUAAAGAAGAAAAAUUUGUACACAAUCAAAUACAUCCACAUAAAGUGUAAGAAUAUGAUUAAAUAGAAAAUGAUUACUAAGGACAAAGCAAGGAAAAUUUAGCAUAUAAGAAAGAAGGGAACUUUCAAGAUUCUUGCAAAAUUUAAAAGAAAAGGUAACAAAGACAAACCUGCGCUUAGUUUUCUCAAUAGUGGCAUUAAUAGCAAGUGCAGGAGCACUAUCAGGUGCAUACAGUUUCAAAGAAUUCUCAAGCUUCUUGAUCUGUUGCUUCUCCCUCUUAGCAAACUGCUUUGACUCCUUGCAAGGUGUGAGCCCAGAGAUGUCAGCAGAAGCUGGAAGCACUGGUGCUGACAAAAGAAUUGAAGACAAAGCAAGUGCUGCUGAGAAUGCUUUUAAUGAGGAAGAACUCUCAUCUGUCUUAGUAGAAGCAGGGGUCUGGUUUGAAGAGCAUACUAUGGUUGAAGUUCUUGGUUUUGUGGUAAAUUGUGAGCUAAACUUAGAUGAUGAAAUGGGUUUUGAAAGGUUUGUAGGAAUUGUGAGAGACAUGUUGUAGUUCUUUCUGUCUUUAAUGUAUUAUUUUCAAGAAAAUGGUAGACAAAGAGAAAGGAAAAAAGAAGAAGUUUGGAGUGUGGAGAGUGAAGGGAUGGUUUUUAGAAGUUGUGGGAGAAAUGGUGAUUAAGGGAGAGGAUAAGGUAGGGAACUGGAGUUGAAAGGGAGCUUAGGUGGAGAUAUUUGAUUGGCUAAUUGAGUUGGAUUUUGUGAGUUUGGGGGAUUUCUUUUGAAAUUUUAUCUAUCUGUGGAAGAGCAACAACCAGGGAUUGCAGAUAUAGAUACGCCUCAUUUCGUGUGGCCUCCACAUAUUUGGAAUUUUUUUUUUAUUUUUUUUUUGCAAGGGGAAUUUGAGAAGUGAAAUGACAUAGAGAAGAACUAAAAUUUACAAAGAAAAAGGCCAAAAAGGCGACAGUAGACACAUCUUUAUUGGCCCUAAAAUGGUUUGAAGAAAGAUAGAAUAUCAGAAUAUUGAUUGCUUUCUAUUUAAGCCCGUUUGACAUAUUUAAAACUUAUGAGAUUCGUAUAUGUACGUUUUAUUUCAAAGAAGCAUGUAAAAGUAACUGGAAUGGCAAAAUUUUGUCUUAAAAAUAAUUGGUGUGUCAAAAGAACUGCCGGCAUUUGUUUGUUUUAAGAUUUAUCUAAUUAGCGACAAAUUUCGCGCCCAAAAUCAUAACAAGUCAUUGUGAUGCAAUUACAAAGCCAAACCAGAAACCCAGAACAAUUUCAUUUAAAGAAUGAACAAAGAAAAAGGAAGUGUUAAGUAAUAGUAAAAGCAUGUUGUUCACAUAAAUCGAGGUCAGCAGACAAUCAGUUAUCUCUAACAUAUUAUUACAAUAUGUCGAGUUGUCAGACUAAAAGAAUCUGAUAUGCAAAUGAUCCUUCCAGAAAUUAAAAGUAAAAAAAUAAAUGGAACAAAUAAACGAAAGUAUAACAGAGUUCAAUUGUCUAUCAUCACAAUGUUUACUAUGAGGUCAGAAAUGUUUUCUAAGAUCCGGGACUCAAGUUGCAUGUCUUGUUCUGGCGUGGAGCUUGUUCGGAGCGAUUAACAAGACUUAAAUUUUGUGACUUUGAGAUCAUGGUGACCAUAGAUGGAGUUUCAUACCCGAUGGUGGCGCCACUAUUGCUUGAACUACCACCUUGCAGUAAUAUUUGUGUUGUCGUGUCUCCUCUAGUUGUCGCUCUUUGCCAAGAAUGUGAACUCAAACCCGAGAGGACAUAAGCUCGUCCUGUUUGUUCAUAGCGCUCUCUGCUUGCCAUCCUUUCUCUGAUUUCAGUCAAUUCCGUGUCAAGCCAGCUACAGAGAGCAUCGCCUGCUUGGGCAGAUACAGAAGAUAGAAGAGAAGCUCUUCGGUUAGUUAGCACUGCUUGGGCACCCUCAAGAUUUCCCAUUUCUGCCAAUUGUUGUGCCUCUGCAAUGGCUUCUGCCACUGCCAGCCUAUUUAUCUGCCUAUCAACCUCACGACUUAUUAGCACAUCUGUAGGAGACAACACUGGUGGCCGACUUAUCUCUACUGUCUCACCCUCCACACUGACCAUUUCUUCGGAUGUGGUAUUCUUGUAACUAUAUGUAAUUUGCAACAGAGAUGUCUUUGUUGCGCCUUGCUCAAUAUCAGCGGAAGGAACAGACAAGUAGAAAAGAAAUUCUUUUUCCUCAUCUGCAUACAGAUUUCCGAUGUUUAUUACCCCUUGCUUUCCCUGUUCAGAAAUUUCAUUUGCAUACCUUCCUGAAGGAAUAGAUCCAAUAUAUACUCCACGUGAUGCUGACCUAACAGUAAGCUUUAGUUCCUGGGCGACAACACUAAGGAGACCACCAAUACACAUAGCAAAAGCAUCUUGAACAGUACCAACAGUCUCAAUGAAAGAAAAUGUACCACCUGAUGCAUCUGAGAUAGCAUGCAUAGUAGAGGAGUCAUGGUCUAAACCAAAUCCGAAUGUAUGUACAUGGAAAGUUGGCAGUUGUCUUGCUGCUAGUGCUUCUCUAUUAUGAGUACAAAUAGAAGAAGGCAAUAGAUUCAAAAAGUCUGGACCUGAGGUUGCAUUCGAGGAUCUGCGGUUACGAGGACUCCGCCGUUGAUUGGCAUUAUCACCGUUAUAUGUGUCUCUUCCAUCUGAGAGGAGAACAAUGCUUGCAACUGGGUUCCUUUCACGUCUCUCUUCAAGAACUCGAACCCCCUUCUUCAGUCCUUCCACAAUAUUUGUCCCACCAUUUGCUGAAAUGGAACAGACAGCCUGUGUAGCCUCUCUACGACCUUGCUCUGUCAUCCUUCGCAAGGGAAAAUUUCUUUGAGCUCCUGAUGAAAAAGUAACAAUAGCUAGACGGUCAGAAGGCCCCAAGUUAUCUAUGACAAAACAAACUGCUUGCUUCAGGAGAGUCAAUUUUGAUCCAGCCAUACUGCCACUAAUAUCUAGAACUGUGACCAGGUCAAUAGGUGCGCGUUCUUGGUGCCGAGCAUCAUCAACUAGAGGGGGUGCCCUUACUCCAACAAGAACAGCAAAUUUUGAAAUAGUUUCAGAAGCAAUAACGGCAGAAUAUUCUGGAAAUGCUUUCAAGACCAGAGUCUCUGGAUGAACAGUGGAAGGGGAGGAGGUCUGAUCCAUAAUGAUGCUGGGAAGAGGUUCAUCAUCAGAGAAAUGAAGAGGCUCAGGAAGGGGCAGGGACACAGGUGGUGGAACACGAGGAAUAUUGUCAAGGUAAUUAUCCUCAAGUGGAGAGACACGAGUCCGCCCAGCAUUAUUAGUGUUUGCAUCAGUACUGAAGGACGACAUGAGAGGAAUCUCUUUCCAUUUGCAUCUGCAGAUGGGGCAGAGAUAGUUUCCAUGCUUAACACUGUUGGCAAUGCAGCUGAAGUGAAAAGAGUGAGAGCAUUCAGCGGUGAAUAUGGCCUGACCAUUCCCUGGUUUCAUACUCCCAAGGCAAAUGGCACAUGUUCUCUACAAUCACAAUAGAAUAAAGUGGCAAGUUACAGUCAGAAUUUUGUAAUCAGUAAAUAAAUGUGUGCAUGAUAAAUGAGGCAAAUACAUAAUCACAAUUGCCUAAUCACUUCUCAUUUAACUUGAAAAACCUAUGACCCUUUAGGUAUAUCCACUCAACCAAGCAAUUGCAAUCUUUGCCACCAGUGUGACAUUCAUGGUUAAUACAGUCUCAGAAAAUAGUUUCACUGGUUAAAAAGGUUCUAGAGCUCUUGGGCUUUGAAUGGAAAUAGAUGACUAUCUUGCACACAGUUACCAACUGCACAUAUCGUUUCAAGUCACAAAAUUGAGAACCUGGACUUCAUUGGUAAUAUGUUGGAAUAGGUAUUUGUAACCUUUGGCUACAAGGUAUUAUUGACUUUGUGAAAUAUUGACUAAAAUAACAUGAACCGUUUAAACAGUAACAACUUUGUGAACAAAAUAUACUUGAGUCAUCUAGAAAAAUUUACCAAAAUGAAGUACUGAUAAAAACUAUUGAAAUAUUAAUCUUAUGCAUUUAGCAAACAUAACUUAGUAUGAAAUUAUAAGCAUGAGUUAGUUGCAUGGAAUUCAUAGGUAAACACAACCAAUUUGCUGGUGUAAAAAAAAAAAAUAUGACAUGCUACUUUGCUAGGGAACGGGGUCGCUCAAGGUAAGCCUAAUAAAGUAUUUGCUUUAGGCUUCAAAAUAUUUAAGAUAAAUUAUAUAAUUUUAAUUUCACUUAAAAUAAUAUUAAAGAUUGUAAAAUACAAUAGAUACAAAAUUUAAAUUUAAAAAAAAAAAAUCUACUUUUUAAUAAAAAUACCUUAAAACUUUUAUCAAAUUUUCAUAUUAAUAAACAAAGUUUUUACAAUAAUAUUCAAGGUAAUGCAUUGUAAACAAAUAAUAACAUCUUAUUAAUUAAAACUAGUUCUUACUUUAUAAAUAAUAAUAUUAGUAUGCGAAGUUAAAUGUUUAAUGUCUACUAAAAAAUUAAUACAUGAGAAUCAAAAAAUAACUCUAAAUUAUUGAUAAUAUUUUUGUUAUGUACAUAUAGUUAAGGUCUCAUAUUAAAAUUUGACUUUAGUCCAUUAAUUUUAUUAAAACUAUUUUGCUACGAAGCAAAUCAUUGCUUCAUGACAAUAUGAACAAAUCAAAUAAUGUUUUGAUCUCAAAUUACUUUAAAAAGUCAAGUUUAUAUGAUAACAAGAUGCAAAUAAUAUUGCAUAGACUUAGGUUAAGCUAUUUAAGCCGCAUUAAAAUGUAGACCAUAAUAUUGCAUAGGCUAAGCUAUUUAAGCCGCAUUAAAAUGUAGACCACCCUUCAAUUUUGUUUUAUAGGGUUCAACCAAAAAUACUUCUCCUUCAAUUUUAGGUUGUUCGCACAAAAUUGAAGAGAAUAAAGAAAGUUUUUGAUUAUUGUGGUGUUUAAUUAAAAGAUAUAUGUGGUCUUAAAUACGUGGAAAACUUAUUACUUAAAGGAUAGCAAAAUAAGAAAGACAUAUUUCGAAACAGAUUAAAAAAAAUUAACACAAAUAAAUUGGAACAGAAUAGUACUUAUUUAUCAAGUCCGUUAAACUAGCAAAUUUACAUUUCAAUGUAAUAAAAACCAAAUUGGGACAACUAAUAUACCACUCCCCUGUCUCAAUUAUGUGACACUUAGGUCAUGUUCUAAAAAAAAUGAUACAUUUCUAUAUUCAAUAAUUAUUUAACUUUAACUUAAACUGCUUAUUUUACCGUUGAUGUGAUUUAUAGGCCACACAAGUAUUCUAUAGCUUAUUUAUGUGUUUCACUUAAACACACCCUCUUUUGGGUACGCAAAUAGUAAGAGUCUUUUCGCUACCAAUCGGCAUACAUGGGUCUUGCCGGUAUCAACAACGAGGAAGAAACAAUCAAAAACAAAAUUAACUACAGCACUUGGCCCAGACAACGUCUCAGUCGUUACCUUAGGGGGAAGUACAUAAAAAGCAAAUACGUAGUAUAUAGGAAAAUAAUCUUCUUGUAGGUAGAAAAGUCAAUUAUUGUUACGUCUAAGGCUCUCUCUAAGCUAUUAAUUAAAGAUUAUAAUAUUUAUUAAAGAUUAUAACAUCAGAAAUGGUCCAACUGCAUCCAACCCCUUUUAUAGACAUGCAUACACACAGCUGGCGUAAGAAUGUGUCCAAAAAAUCUUAACUAACAAUAAAAGAUCCCCAAUUUGUCAAAAGCUGAAAUCAUCAUAAUUUACCAGCAAACCCACAAACAAAUCACACAUCUUAUACCUAGAAUUUAUAAAAGAAAACAAAAAUUAGUAGCAAGUGUUAAACUGCUUUGUUUGUUCAUUAGGUAAAAAAAAUUGAGGCUCUGGUACUUUUUUUAUACCAGUGGUUAUUAUGCACUGGCAUUGUUAAUAGUGAAAAGGUACUUCAACAAAGUCAAAACUUUAUAUUAAAGAAAGGAAACAAGCACAAAAAUCCAAGAAAGGUCAACUUUUUCUGCUUUAAACUUUUAGGUAGCAAUAAAAUGACCUUUUUGACCUCGAGGUUGAUACCAAAGUAGAGGGCAAUAUAGUAAAUUGCUCAUGCAUUUCGCCGUUUAUAAUGCUAAAACAAAGGUGGAUUUCAUCUAGUUUAUUCAUUGAAUUAGAUCAAUCCAAACAAACGUGAUAAAACCAAAACUGAAUUUCCAAUAUUACCCUCACCUCAGAUCUCCAAAUAACGGAACAAAUCAUAGAUUUUGCUAAAUCACGAUACCAAUUUAGUCAAAAUACACUUUCUCAUGCACAGAAUUUUAUGUUCACAUGGUUAAAAAAAAAAGGUUUGUCAUCACCGGUGACGAAACCACAAUAAAACACAAAAAUAAAAUAUAAAAAAAAAAUGAUAAGAAAAAAUUCUUCAAAAAAAAAUACUGACCUUAGAAGAUCGGGAGGUGGUACUGAAGCUUCUAGAGAAACGAGAAAAAGUGGAUGAAGAUGGGGAGGAAGGUGGCCGAAGAGAUGAUGAUGAUGAUUUGGAAUCGGAAGAUGAAUUCUCCGCUGUUGGAAGAGGAGAUUUAGGUUGCCGAAACGACAGCGUUUUCUGAAGUUUGCUCCAUGUCCCUGACAUUCUUCCUCUUUCCAACCGAAAGGGAGAUGAAUUGGUAUUAGGGUUUGACGAUUUGUAAUAAAUAUAGGAUAUGGUAAAUUGGAGAAGAAGAGAAAGAAAUAUGAGAGGAAAAAAAGACAAAACAGAAAGAAAGAAACUAUUUUAAGAUUUAGAGAAUAAUAAAAGAUCUCUUCUUUCUUUUUUUAAAAUAUAAAUGAAAAGACAAGUAUGAUACGCCUGGUUUGAUCUAAUUAAGCCCCGUUUGAAUAUGAUUUGACAGUGAUUUGAAAUCAGAUUUAUUUUAAGUUGAAGUACGUUUUGAUAUAUAAUUUAAAUUUAUUAAGUUUUUUUUAUUUUCAUAAAUAUAAAACUUAGUAAAUUGUAAUAAAAAGAAUUAUUAAAUUUUUAUAUAAUUUUAUCAAAUUAACGAGCAAAAUGAUAGUUCAUAAAUAAGAUACUAAAAAAUCAUAAUAACUCGCAAUCUUCAUGUUCUUUUUAUAAAUAAGUACAGUAUUUGUAAUUAUAAACUUUUAAAUAUACAUAAUUUUAUAAAUAUUAAUGAGUUAAUUUUUUAAUAUAAUUCUUUGACGUGGUAUUAAUAAUCUAUUUUUAUCGAGUGUGAAUUUAUUUUUAUUUUUUUAUAUAAAAUCUAAAAGGAUGGGUCGUUUUUACUAAAUUUAAAGUUUUACAUUUUAAAUUUUUUGAAUGUAUAAAUAAUGUUUUUUGAAGAAUUUAUUAUCAGAACAUAGGAUUUCAAAUCACAUAUGGAAGCACUAAUAUUAAACAAUAAUUCCAAAUUACAGUGUCAAACGUCUACUAAUUAAUUUCUGUUGAAUUGGUACCAAAAAACAGAAUGACUUUUGAUCUUAAGCAUAAUUUUUUUUGUGGGUGAAAGAAUUAUAAAGUUUAAAACUACACGUUAUUAAGUGAGUGCCAGUUUUAGUAAGAAAUAAAGUAAGAGAGGCAAAGGAGGACUAAUUUGGGGGAACUUUUAAUUUCAUUUUUGGGAGUAAUAUCUUCAUUUUUAAGUGUCUAGAUCCUCAAUGUUGACUUUUGGAUAGUUUACAAUUGUGGUCACUUUCUUAGUAUUUGUAAAUUGUAACCAUAGUGUUAAAAAGUUUACAUCUCCCCUAAAUUUUGAAUAUAUGUAUAUGAUUACAUAGUGUGAACUCAUUGACAAAUAUUAUCGCUUGGUCUAGUGGUAGAUGGACUAAUAUUAAGGGCCUCUCUUCUACCGCGGACGUAUAUUCAAACCCCAUUACAACAUAGUUAUUUUUUUAAUUUUUUAUAUUUCUUUAAAUUCAGAACCCACUGACUUCAAAUUCUGACUCCGCCUUUAAUUUUAAUUUUUUUUUUUAACAUAAUUUGCUAAUGAUGACAUAAUAUAAAUAUAUAACUAUUUAAAUGCAACAUUAAAAUUUGAUCUUUAAGUUUUGGAAGAGUAAGAUUUUUGGUGGAGAAGGCCAAAAGGUUUUCAAAUUUUAUGUUUGAGUAAUUAAAAAAAUAAAAAAAGUACUUUCAUUUAGAGAGUCUAGGGGUGUUCACCAGUGGCGGACCCAAGAUUUUAAGGUUAUGGGUGCUUUAAUCAGGGGUGGAGCUACAGUACCCUACGAGGGUUCGGGCGAAUCCAGUAGCUUUUACGUAAACUCUAUAUUUACAAUAAAAUUUUGAAUAUAUGUAUAUGAUUACAUAGUGUGAACCCGUUGACAAACAUUAUCGCUUGGCCUAGUGGUAGAUGGACCAAUAUUAAGGGCCUCUCUUUUGCCGCGGACGUGUGUUCAAACCCCAUUACAACAUAUUUAUUUUUUUGAUUUUUUAUAUUUCUUUAAAUUCAGAACCCACUGACUUCAAAUUCUGACUCCACCUUUGGUUUUGAUUUUUUUUUUUUUUACAUAAUUUGCUAAUGAUUCAAAUUUUUUGUUUGAGUAAUUAAAAAAAUACAAAAAGUACUUUCAUUUAGAGAGUCUAGGGGUGUUCACCAGUUGCGGACUUAGGAUUUUAAGGUUGUGGGUGUUUUAAUCAUGGGUGGAGCUACAGUACCCUACGAGGGUUCGGACAAAUCUAGUAGCUUUUACGUAAACUCUAUAUUUACACUAAAAUUUUGAAUAUAUGUAUAUGAUUAUAUAGUGUGAACCCAUUGACAAACAUUAUCGCUUGGCCUAGUGGUGAUGGACCAACAUUAAGGGCCUCUCUUCUGCCACGGACGUAUGUUCGAACCCUAUUACAGCAUAUUUAUUUUUUUGAUUUUUUAUAUUUCUUUAAAUUCAAAACCCACCGACUUCAAAUUCUGGCUCCACCUUUGGCUUUAAUUUUUUUUUUUUUUUUUUAACAUAAUUUGCUAAUGAUGACAUAAUAUAAAUAUAUAACUAUUUAAAUGCAACAUUAAAAUUUGAUUUUUAAGUUUUGGAAGAGUAAGAUUUUUGGUGGAGAAGGCCAAAAGGUUUUCAAAUUUUUUGUUUGAGUAAUUAAAAAAAUACAAAAAGUACUUUCAUUUAGAGAGUCUAGGGGUGUUCACCAGUUGCGGACUUAGGAUUUUAAGGUUGUGGGUGUUUUAAUCAUGGGUGGAGCUACAGUACCCUACGAGGGUUCGGACAAAUCUAGUAGCUUUUACGUAAACUCUAUAUUUACACUAAAAUUUUUAAUAUAUGUAUAUGAUUACAUAGUGUGAACCCAUUGACAAACAUUAUCGCUUGGCCUAGUGGUAGAUGGACCAAUAUUAAGAGCCUCUCUUCUGCCGCGGACGUGUGUUUGAACCCCAUUACAGCAUAUUUAUUUUUCAACUGAGAUUCAUUAGACUAUAGACAAUCACUAAUUUUAACUUUCUUUUUCAACCUUGUUGAGCAAGAAUUUAUGUGUUCAUCUUUUGGGGGGUUUAUCAUAUCAUUCUAUUAAUUGUAGUUUUCAAUAUUUUUUUAGAAGCGUUCAUACGGUGUUGUUCAUAGUUUUGUCGAAGUAUAACACUCAGUUGACAUCUUAGUUUCAAGGUUGAGAUACAACACUUGGUUGACAUCUCAUAUGUUAGAUUGAAUUUGUUUUUUUAAAUCUUCAACUUUUAUUAUUAACUAAAGUUAUAAAUAAAAAAAUAGAACCAAAUUGAACAAAACCAACAAGAACUAAACCGACGGUUUUUUUUUUGUUUGGUUUGAUUUGGUUUUAGAAAUUUAAAAAUCAACUAAGUUGAUUUGGUUAUGAUUUUGACCAAUAACCGACCCAUGAACACCCCUAAUCGAGACAAGGCUUUCAGCCAAAAUAAAAUAUUUUUACUGUAUUAAUUUAUGUGAUAUUAUUUGAUCAAAUGUGAAAUUUAAUAAAUAAGGGACUACUUUGUUAUGUUUAUCAAAUUGUGUUAUUAAAGUCACGUUAAUGCUCUUUUACUUUUCUUUAUAACAAAAUGUUAAAUGGACCCAAAGAGGUAAAAUGUGAUUAUAUCACUAGAUAGUUAUCAAAUAAUUAAACAAAAGGUGAAUUUUAUCUAAUUACAUCAUAUUAUGUUAUAAACUCUGUCAUGGAUUUUGGAUUUGGACCUGAGGUGAAGUUACAACCCAACAAAAGAGUGGAUCUCCUUUGAAAUUCGGGUUAAGCAAACAUGUUAAAUAGGAAUAGUUACCCACUGAAGAGAUUAUGCAGAUUAUGUUGAAGUUUUGGCUUUAUCUAUAUUCUUUCAUCUCUCUCCCCUUCAAUAGUCUAUUAUCUCAUCUCCUUCUAGUUACCUUCUUCUUUUAUUAUUCGUAAAUUUCUCAUCAGUAUUGUUCAUUGUUACAUUGUUGCUCAAAUUCUUAUUUGUAUUCAGAUUUAAAUGUAUAAUAUAUAUUAGAGUUGUGGUGUGAAUUUGAGGUUGUUACAUACCAUUAAAUUAGAUAAAAUUCACCACAUCACCAGUUUUAAUUCAAAAUAAAUGUUGUAAUUAAUAAAGUAUACCAUUAAGUUUUAAGUUACUAAUAAAUUUAUAGAAGUAGUUAACUCAUAAUUAGUGUAUCUAAGUGGCACAUACUAAACGCGAACUUGAAUCUAAUUACAUCAAAGGUCCAAAAAAAAAUACUUUGUACCUCGGUCCAACAAUACUUGUUCAUUAUUACUGACUUGGCACGCACCUUAAAAACAAUAUAUAAUAUGGAUAAUUUUACUAAAUUACUCUUUGAAUAUAAUAAAUUUAAUGUUUUUAAAAAUGGAUUGAAUAAUGAUUAGUAUUUGAUAUCAAGGGUAAGAUGACACAGAUCGAUAAAUUAUCCAUUGAUUUUUUACGAUUUUUAGUAUAGUGGACAAUUAAAAAUGAACGGUGAAAAUAGAAAUUUAAAUUAACAAACUCAUACAAAUUAAAAUCAGUUGAUCAAUAAUGUAUAGUUAAAAUAAUAUAAAUAAUUAGAUGCAACAAACAAAGAAAAAACAAGGGAAAACUUGCUCUAACUCAAUAAAAAUAGUAGAAUGCAGUUAGCCCAUAGUAUUAUUUUUUUAAAAGAAAGAAAUGGAAUUUGCCAGUUCUUGGGUAAACGGAGGUUAACAACAUUAAUAAACAGUGCGUUUAAAAAUAAGUAAAUUGUAUGUUUUGAUACAUAUUUAAAGAGAGUGUCCGUUUGAUAUGCUGUGUUGAAAAAAUAUAGUAUCUUUCGACUCUGAACUCUCUUACUCACGAUGACCAAGGAGAAAAAAAUGACUUGUUAUGGGUAUUUUGAAAAAGUAAUCAUAAUUCCAAAGGAGGCAAUUGAAUGAGCAGCACUUAUAAUCAUUUAAACUCAAAAAGAGAACAAGAUAAAGUUACCAAAAAGUUAUCAAAGUGAAAUCAUAUAUUAGGGUUUCAUUUCCUUUGACAUGAUAACUAAUUAGAAACCAAAAUAUACUACUCCUAUUUUUAAGUUUCCACUCUUAUACUCACGUAUCAAUCCCUGAAAUAUAAGCCCCUAAUUAAUAUUAUUAGCAAAAUUCCUAUAAGAAUAAUCAUGUGCAGAUAGGAGCAGCAAUUUGCUGUCCAUAAAAAUUAAUAUUUGCAUUUGAACAAGUUGCAGUGAUUUCAUGGCCAUUGAAAGUUAAGUCCAAAUCCCUUAUCUCAAUCCCUUGGCAUCGGAAACUUUUGCUGCAAUUAAGCACUACUCCCACUUUUGAUGCUGAAGUUCCUCUUAUGUUGAUGAAUUUAACAUUUGAAAUCUGCACUUGUGAUUCACCACCCUGUGGAGAAAUAUACUUUAAUUAAUUACAAGGAUUAAAAAUGCAAUAAAACAUUAAAAUGUUUAUUUACUUUUUGAAACCUUGUCUUCAAAAAACGCAUAUAAGUUUUUACCAAUAGACAUACAAUUGUAUAAAGUAUACUGUCAAACCUUAGACGUUUGUCCGGAUAUUAUUUGUUUCUUCUAGCGAAGUGUUGUUAUGGAGCAUAAAUAAUUAGUACUACAACAUAACAUAACAUAACAUGAAAAAUAGUUUAUGCAUGUUGCAAUGUUUGAUCAGGCAAUUUAAAAGAGACAUCAAAGUAUUUUUGAAAAUUGUAGUGUAAAACAAGUUAUAGACAUUUGUGCGGCUAUAUAAACUUAAAAAAAAAAAAAAAAAAAAAAAAAUUAAAAAAAUUUGGGGGGGUAAAAAAAAUUAAAAAAAAAAAAAAAAAAAAAAAAAUGUGACAUAUAAGUAAUGUACCUGUUUACUACAAGUUGAAUGAGGACAAUAUUGUUGAUCAAUGAUGAUAGGAUUUUCAACAUGAUUCACAUCAAUAUCUUCAAAGGUGACAUUGAAAACUUUGCUAGGAGGUGAAGGUGCCCAACUCUUUAUCCUUAGUCCAUUUUGAGUCCUCACAAGUGUACAAUCCCUCACAACAACUCCAUUCACAUCAGCUUCAUUUUGGUACUUUCCUAAACUUCCAAUGCUAAUGCCAUGACCAGGGCCACAAUAGACCUCAGAAAUGUGAAUAUUCGAUGUACCAGGACCAAUCGAAAUGCAAUCAUCACCAGUAGAAAUUUUUGCUUUGUGAAUGAUGGUAUCGUUGGAGUUGCCUAUAUGAAUCCCAUCAGUGUUUGGGCUAUCGCCGGGUGCUGUUAUGGUCACGUCCUCGAAAUGAAUUCCUUGGCUACCAUCAAUUUGGUAAUGGAAGAACUUGCUGUUGAUUGAUGUUAUGCUUUGUAUCAAGACAUUGCUCAUGUCAUUGAAUUUUAUAGACUGUUCACAAUAUACAGGAAAUAAAAUAAAAUCUUGUUAGACUAUUAAAAUGUUCCAAACCAAACAUAAGUUAUGAUCUAUAUGGUGCUUGUGCUUCUUCUUCUUGUUGCCUCUUUUUUAUGGUUCUUUUAGCCGAGGGUCUACUUAUUGAUACUAACCUCUCUAUGAUAAGGUGUACGUACAAUCUAUCCUCCCUAGGCCACCUGAGGUAUUACAUUGGGUUUGUUGUUGUUGAUACAACUCCAAACUAAAGACAUUUUAAUUUUUUAAAUGGGAAAAUUACAAUCGAUGUUUUUGGGUCAUCUACUUUACAAAACAUGUACACAAUGUGUAAGUAGUGUAUACUUUAUAUAGUAAAUACAUAAAAUAUACACAACAGAUACAACCAAAGUAUAAGACAGUAUAUACUUUGACCAUAUUGAUAAACUAGAUGGCUCAAUAUAUUUACGUAAGUUUCUCAUUUUAAACUCAUGCCAAGGGGAAGGCUAUCUUUUAUUCUUAUGGAAAAUAUUACAGUUAUCUUCCUUUCCUAUUUUAUUUUCUUGUUCUGAUUUACUUUGUCUAUAGUAAGAAAAUAAAAAACUAAAAGGAAAGAAAAUAUUUAAUAUGGUGAAGUAAGAAAUAUUUUACCGAAGGAGGAUGCCUGCUGUUGGCUUUAACAUUAUAUAGGGACCAUGCAGAUGGACCUUGGCCAUCUAAAGAACCUUUUCCAUUAAUAGUCAGUCCAUUAAUAUGCUGAAAUAAUAUCCAGUAUUCAUAUCUGCUGUUACCAGUGGGAGCUCUCAAAACUCCAUUUACGUUGAAAAUAGUUGGGCCAUUGCAUGGGCCACUAAAUGUUACUGUAUUCAACAAGAAAGUCCCUGGUGGAAUGAAGAUUGUGCCUCCUACUUUGCUUUUACAUGCUUGGCUCCAUGCCUUCAAAAUUGCCUACAUGCACAAUAACAAACAAAAAGAUUAAGAAUAAUGCUAAUUAUAAUAAUAUAUAUGUAUAUAUUAAAGUGAAUUUGACCAGCUACCUGUGUAAAAAUUCUAAAGCAUCCUUAGUUAGCGGUACAACUAGAAAUUUUCAUAAAGAAAAUUUAAAAUAUAAAAAAUAAAUGCACGAGAAAGCCAAAGACACAUGACAUAUUCCCUUGGACAAGGAUAUAUGACUCCACCAUCGUACACAGCGUGGCUUAAGGGUGAGGCUAGUAAAACCUUUGCUUUAGCCCUCCACAAUCUUAAGGCCUCAAUAAAAUUUAAUUGUUAAUUUUAUAAUUUUAUUAUUAUUUUCGACAAUAUUGAAUAUAGUUAAGAAAAAAAAAAAAGCUAUCAUCAUUCAAUAGAAAUAUUUUGAAAUUUUGAAUUAAACUACUCAAAUCUUUAUAAUAAUAAAUAAUAUAUUUACAAUGACAUCCAAGGUAAUGUAUUGAAAAUGCAUGACAAAAGUAUUAUUAACUUGAAUCAUUUCUUACUGUUACAAAUAAUAAUAUUACUAUGUGAAAUAUAAUACUACACUAAAAAGAACAAUUAAGAAAAAGCAACAUUAACUUUUUAUAUAUUAUGUAAAUGUAUAUUUUUAAGCGUCAAAUUUGAAUUUGCUUUAGGUCAUUAAUUUUAUCGAGACAUCCUUGAACGUUUACACUAAUGGUAUAAUAAUACGUUAUUAUAAAUUACUUUGUCUUAAUAAUUCUAGAUUACUAAUCUCACUUAUUACGAACAAUUGUGAUUUUACCUGGCUACUAUCAGUCUUCCCAUCAGGCAAAGCACCAAAAUCUUGAAUAUUAACCACUGUACCUUUACCAUGAACCUGAGAAACCUUAAUAAUUAUCAAGAAAAUAACAAAGAAAGAGAGGAAAUGAAAGAAGAAAAAGGAAGAAGCCAUUGCUAGCGCUAUUGAUUUUGUAUUAUUCUCUUCCAAUACUUGUGGAAGAUGGAAAUUUUAAGUUAGCACUUGCAAAUGAUUGCUCGGGUAUUUAUUUAGUCAAACUUCUAUAGUCGAAAAUGGAAAUGAUCCAAAUCAAAUCUCGAUUUUAAUGUGAGGAUGCAUUAGAUUAUAUUGAGGUAUCUCACUUUCCUCUUUAUAAUAUGUAAAUUAAGUUAUAUAGAUCAACUACAAGAUUUUCACAUUAUACUUUAUUUAGUUUAAUAAGUAAUAGUAAGUUAAGUACCAUUUUAAGAAGUCACUAAUUAAUACUGUCUACUAUAUAACUUUACCUAUAAUUACCUCAAAGGUAAGUUUAAUAUGUGAAUAAUCAAUAUCAUCAACACGUAUAGGGGGCAAUUAGCAGUAGUAUUAUUUAAUCUUGUUUCCUAGUAUUUUAACGUAUGCAUAAUUAUAAUACAUGUAUUAGUUAGUAUUCUAUUAAGUAUUAUAUGGUGUAUAGCUUAGUUUUAAAUUCUUAUAUCAUAUCUUCUUAAAUCAUUUAGUUAACCACAAUGUUUUACGGUGUAUAGCUUAUUUUUAAAUUCUUAUAUUAUAUCAUCCUAAAUCAUUUAGUUAACCACAAUAAUAUUACUUGUAAAUAAGACAUUGAUAUUUUGCCCUAAAUAUAAUAUUUAUAAUAUUAUAUUUUACACAAUAAUAUUUAUAAUUGCACUAAAUUUAUGAAGAUUGUUUUACCUUUUUUCUUGUAUGAAAACCUUUCCUAUUACCAAAUAUCCUUCAACUAUUCAAAAUAGUACACAAAUACCCUCAUUUCAUCUUUAGGCUCAAAAAUACUCUUAGGGGUCGUUUGCUAGAGUGUUUAAGAUAAUACUGAAUAGGUUAUAUUAGUAAUGCUGGGAUUAGUAGUACAGGGAUUAGUAAUACUGAAAUUAUUUUUUAUACAGUGUUUGGUUUGAUGUAUUGAAAACAAUAUGUAUUGUUAUAUUUUAAAAAGAAUAUUGUAUGUUUACAAAAAUAUUCUUUGACAUAUUAUAACUUUGUCUGUUCUUUGCAAAACUUCUUUCUUUUAAAAAAAAAAUAAAAAUAAAAAAGUAAAAAUAUAACUAAUUAUUUACUUUGGAAUUUUAAGAUUCAAUCAUUCACUUAUAUAUAUUUUUUUUGUUAUCUAUUCUUUAUUUGUUCAUCAUUUUUUUGUUGUUUCCACUUUGUGAUGUUCUUACGUUGGAGGAAGAUACGUGUAACUUUUGAACGAGACAAUAGAAUUAUUAUUGAUAUAAAUUUGUGUUCCGUAGAGUGCAUGUUAAAGCUAAGUAGAAAAAAAAAAAAAUUAUUUAUGAUAUCCUAUUUACAGAAUUAAAGUUUGUAUGCAAUCAUGCAAUUUAUUUUCGGAUUGUGACCAAUAAUUAUUUUUUAAGUUAAUGGAAUAGUUUUUUUAUGACUAAAAUUAUUUGGAGGGAUAUUAUUAACUUGAUAAAUUGAAAAGAAAUAACUCACAUUGAAAAGAUUUAAAAAAAAAAUUAAAGAAAUUUGAGGGCAUUUUUGUCUUGACACAUAUUUAUCCAUGGAUUACUAAUCCCACCAAGUUGGGUGUAUAACUAAUCCAUGUAUUAGUUAUACAUAGCUUCAAAAUUGCUACCAAACAAUGUACUAAGUAAUCCCAUCAUUUGAUCCAUGGAUUAUAUCCUACCAAACGGGUCCUUAAUGUAAUAGAAAUGACUCAAAAUGCCCUUCUUCCUCUAUUGGUUCAAAAAUACCCCUCCAUCCACCUAUUUAGAUAAAAAAAUGCCCUUAACAUUAAAUUUAAAUCCAAAAAUGUCUCCUCCUUUAUAUUAUAUUAUUUUUUGGAUUCACGUAGGGGUAAUUUUUUUUGUAAUUAUGAUAUUAUAUAUUUUUUGGUGGAAUAGAUAUGCGUUAAUUAGUAUAUUAUUUUUUUGGUUUCAUGUAGUGGUGGGCUUUUUUUAGUUAUAAUUUAUUUUAUUAUUAUAUUAUUUUGGAGUUUUUUAAUUACAAUUUUUUAUUAUUAUAUUAUUUCUAAUUUUUUUAAUUAUAAUUUUUUAUUAUUAUAUAAUUUUUGUGGGUUUUUCAUCAAGGGUGGGUUUUUUUCUUUAAUUAUUAUUUUUUUAGUUUUAGGUUGGUGCCAAGUUAUCAAGUAAUUUAUAGUAUAUCAUGAUAGCUAUAUUUAUGGUAAUUUUUAUUUUUUCAAUAAAUAUAUUUUUUCUAUUUUAGGACUCUUAAUUUCCUUCCAUAUAUUUUAGGACUCUUAAUUUUUCUAUAUGUUUUGGGUUUCAUAUUUAUAUAUUUUAGGACUCUUAAUUCCAUUCUAUAUAUUUAUUUAUAAAAUAAAAAUUAAAAAAAAAAUAAAUGAUUUUAUCUAUUGUAAAGUCUUCUAAUGGAGAAUGUUUUUUUAAAAAAAGUUAUUAUUAUUUUUUUUGGUUUCACGUAGGGAUGUUUUUUUAAUUACAUUUUAAUAUACAUAUAAGUGUCACACCCCUGUUUUUCACCGCAUCCAACCCCGCUAGGGAGUUGGUUUUGGAGAAAACGGUUUUUCCGAUUAAAGCGACGUUUUGAAAAGGGAUUACUUUACUUACAGAGUCGCCACUUGGAAUUGAGUUUGGGUGUUCCAAGUCACCUUAUUGAAUCCCUAUUCAAAAGGAAAUGACUCUUCAAUUUUUAUUUUUUCNNNNNNNNNNNNNNNNNNNNNNNNNNNNNNNNNNNNNNNNNNNNNNNNNNNNNNNNNNNNNNNNNNNUUAACUAAUGAUUGGGCCUUAAGCAUAUUUAGAGAAGAAUGUAAAAGUAAAGAUAAUUAGAAACUCGUGAUGUCUCUGUCAUAAUGAACUAUGCAUUCAAUGAAUCAAGUCGUACCCAAAGAAAGUAAAGUGAGAACAAGCAUUUGAACCAUAUUUAAACAAUUCCAUAUAAAAUCAUGAUCAAUACUAGUAAAAUUAAAAAUUAAAUAGUGACAUAGUUAAUGGACACCUUUGCAGAUGUCUAUUUAAUAAUGACAAAUUGAAUUAGACAAGCUAAAAUGGAAAGGGGUUUUUAUGCCCAAAAACUUCAAAGGCUAAUAAAAUUCUAACUUAAAAUAGUAAGGUUAACACAUUGUAAGAAAGAAUCUUGGUANNNNNNNNNNNNNNNNNNNNNNNNNNNNNNNNNNNNNNNNNNNNNNNNNNNNNNNNNNNNNNNNNNNNNNNNNNNNNNNNNNNNNNNNNNNNNNNNNNNNNNNNNNNNNNNNNNNNNNNNNNNNNNNNNNNNNNNNNNNNNNNNNNNNNNNNNNNNNNNNNNNNNNNNNNNNNNNNNNNNNNNNNNNNNNNNNNNNNNNNNNNNNNNNNNNNNNNNNNNNNNNNNNNNNNNNNNNNNNNNNNNNNNNNNAAAUUUUAAAUAAACUCAUAGACAAACAUGAUUAAAAGAACUUUACGCCAAAAACAUAAUUUGAAUUAGACAGUAACUUAGAUUGAAGUGCAAGAAAGCGCAUAUUAUGAUACCAACUUUAAUUUAAAUUUAACUAUACAAAAAUAUAAAAAUACUCCCUAAUCAUAUUAUAGCAUCGAAGAUUCAUAACUCGUUAACACAUGUGAAAUUUGAGCAACUUAGUAAUGCUAGAAUCAAGUCUCGUAUAAUCUCAAUGUACGUUAUCUCUUGUGAAAAUAAUUAACAACAAAGCAACGGAGAGCGACAUAAAAUCAUGAAUCAAACCCCAAACUUUAACUUGUUGUCUACUCGUUUUGUCGCUAAACUAAAUAGUGGUUUCGAGUAAUUUUUACCCGAAAUAAUCAAUUAAUUAACAAUAUAAUCAAACUUUAUAUUAACAGAAAAUGAAACAUCGAGAUGUAAUGCGAAUCAUGUAAACUUUUAUUAUGAUCCCAAAUUUCCUACAAUACUCGUAGGUAAGAGGAUUUGAUUAUUUAAUUCAUUCAAAUAACUUAGAAAUUACAAACAAAAUAUAAGUAAAGAAUGGACCUUUACGUUGGAGACCUCGAUGACAAACAAAACAACCGAACGGAAAUCUCGAAUAGACCAAAACUCAACUCACAACUCUUUUUCCUCUCUGUUUUUCUAAUCUUUUUCUUUCUUCUAUUUUUUUUUUUUUUUUUUUUUUAUUUUUUUUUUUUUUUUUUUUUUGUUUUCCGUGUGUGUAUUUUUUUUUUAAGUGCAUGUGUGCAUGUGUGCAUGUGUUUAUAUAGUGUAUGUGUUUGUGUCGCGUGUGUGUGUAUUUGGUGUCGUGUGUUUGUGUGUUUGGAAAAUGGGGGGAGAGGUUUGUGAGAGUGGGGCUUGUGGGUGGUUUGGGUAGUUUAGGAUUCCCUUUUUUAUUUUUUUUAUUUUUUUAAUUAUUAUUAUUAUUAUUAUUUUAUUUUUUUUAAUUUUAAUUUUAAUUAAUAUUUUAAAUAAAAUAAAAAAUAAUAAAAUCUAUUUUAAAACUAACAAAAUACAAGACUAGCUAGUCUUAGGAAUAUGGUUAAGAAAUAUUAAUAUCACAACAUUCUUUAUUAAAAAUUGAAAGAAGAAACAAAUAUAAUUUAGAAAAAUUUUUAUUUAAAAAAAUAAAUAAAUAAACAAAUAAAAACUAAAAAAUGAAAGUAAAAACUUAUUUAAAAUGUGACUCUAUUUUUGUAGUUUUUUUUUUCCCAAAAUUUUAAAAUAAAUUUAGUAAAAAUAGAUAAAUUUAAAAUAUUUAAUUUAGACCCUAAAACGAAAUUGAACACUAAAAUGGCAAAAACACUUAGGUUUGGUGAAAAAUUAGGUGUUUACAAUAAGGAAAAAGAUUAAAUGAUUUUAUCUAUUGUAAAGUCUUCUAAGGGAGAAUGUUUUUUUUUAAAAUUUUUUUUUUUAUUUGGUUUCACGUAGGGGUGUUUUUUUUAAUUAUAUUUUAAUAUAUAUAAGGAAAAAGAUUAAAUGAUUUUAUCUAUUGUAAAGUCUUUUAAGGGAGAAUGUUUUUUUUUUUUAAAUAAAAGUUAUUAUUAUUAUUAUUUUGGUUUCACAUAGGGGUAUUUUUUUUAAUUACAUUUUAAUAUAUAUAUCAUUACUAUUUUUCUUUGUACUAUUACUAUUUUUAUGGUUUCAUGUUGGAGAAGGAUAGAAGUGUAAAAUAUUAUGCAUUCUUAUCUAAAUUAAAUAAAGACUUAAAUUACUUUCAAGUUUUUUUUUUAUAUAAAAAAUUCAAAACUUAAAAAGAACUAAAAGUCUUCAAAAUUUUACCUAAAAUACGUUUUCUAAUAUUUGAGCACACAUAGAUAAUCAUUAACUAUGAGAGUAUUUACCCUUUGCUAAUUAUCUUAUUUAAGGAAUUCUUUUCUAAUUUUGUACUUAAACAUUAAUUAAUUCUUUUUAUAUUUUUAUAUAUAUCUAAAAGAAUUAGUGAGAAGAGGACCAUUAAAAUUGUGAAUAAAUUUGAGUCUAAUUACAUGUGGACCAAUAAAAAUAAUGUCAUGUAUUUAAUUUAAAUAAAAUUAUAUUUCACAUCAGAAUUUGUUAAAAGGAGGAGACAUUUUUUGACUUAAAUUUAAUUUUAAGGAUAUUUUUGAUCCAAAUAGGUGGAUGGAGGGGUAUUUUUGAAUCAACAGAGGAAGAAGGACAUUUUUUAGUCAUUUCUACUAAGGGUUUAUUUGAGCUAAAUAGAUGGAUAGAAAUGUAUUUUUGAGCCUAGAGAUGAAAGGGAAUAUUUAUAUACCACUUUCAAUAGUCAAGGAUAUAUCAGAUCCUUUUCCGUUGAAAAUACGAUAAUUGAUUAAAUUAGUUUUCUUAAUAAAUGGACAAACGACUAAUUGCAAAACUUUAUCCAAGAUUGAAAGGUCAAUUUUUUUAAUUUAACCAUUUUGUUUGAAGAAUUAUUUAAUUAAUAAUGCUUCAAUUUAAUGAUUCACGGAUGAGCAUUUGUGGAAGCUGUAUAUAAAAUUGAAAUUCACAAGGUUUUCUUAAGAGAUGAUUAUAAUUAAUAAGAAUUAGCUUCGGAAUUUGCUGGCUAACUUAUCACUCAAAGUCCAUUGCUAACAAAUUUUUAAUAGUCUAUGCUCCCGCCGUUUGAGCUUCGGCUUUCUUGAAAUCAUGUUUGGACAUAUGAGUUUUGUUCUUUGAUAGUUUGUGAGUACAAGUCCCAAAAUUACUGGAUACUUAAAAAUAUUUGAAGAUCAUAUUUUCAAAAUGUGAUCAAAUAGACAUUUGAAGAUAAAUUUUCAUAUUCCGAGACCAAACGCUAACUAAAUAAAAUCAUACUAAAACAAAACAAACUUGAUACACAAUUCAUACAAUUACUUCCAUUAGUAAUUCACAGUGCAACUCAAGCCUCAAGGAAAAGGAAAAAAAAUCAUUUCACUGUUUUCAUUUCUGCACAAGUAGAAUCAAUCCCACAAAAUAAAAUUAAUCACAAAUAAUAAAAUCUCAAUCUUUUACACAUUGGAAGUAUUAUCUUGCUUGAAAUUUUGAGUUGGAGGAAAAGGAGCAGCAGCGGUAGCAGUAGGAAUAUCACAAUUAGUACCAGGGGGUGGGGUGGGGACACCAAAGACUUGGGGAUUAGUUUUGAGAUCUUGUCUACCUUUAGCUCUUCCAAAGAAAAAACAACCAAAUCCAAUAAGUAUUGUGAAGAGUAUAAAUGGAAGAGAAAUAACUACUACCAUACCCAUCCUUCUUUUUUUUUUUGCUUUUAAUGGAGUUUGGUGGUGAAAGAGUACAGAGGAAUCCAGUGCACAUACACAAUUUUUAUAGGCAAAUGGUGUGGAGGAAAUAAUUGGAUUGUAACGGUAGGCAUAAAACGUUUUAGUUUCCAACGGAUACUUUUUGUUUCAUUGUCCACUUUCAUUUGUUUUCUGAAAAGAAAAUGGAAUAUUUGUUGGUCUCUUUUUUAUGAGUUUUUUGGCAGUAAGUCUUGCUUGUUCAACUUUUGAGGCUGAGUUAGGAUUUGAUUUGGUUGGUCGUAAAAGAAAUAUAUUCAUUUUAUUUGGUGUUUUUGAAGUUAAAAAAGAGUUGGCAUUGUGUUUGAUCAUAAUAUUUUUAAAAAUAUUUUAAACUUUGAGCGUGUGUUUUAUAAAGUGAUAGAAAAAAUUUAGUCCAAAAAAAUAAAAUUUCAAAAUACGUUUUUGAUCUUCAUGGCCAAAUAAGUAUUUCGGAAUAAAGUAAAAAUGUAUUCAUAAAUAUUGUGAAUAACACUUAUGGCCAGGGGCGGAGACACCUUUGCUGUAGGGUAUUCAUUCCAACCCCCUUCAGUGAAAAAUAUACUAUUUAGAUAUGGUUAAAAUAAUUUUAUACGUAUAUAUAGUAGAAGUUGAACUCCCUUCGACUUGUUCAAUUUUUGAACUACCUUAGUAUUAAUCCUGGCUCUGCCACUGCUAAUGGUCAAGCUAAUGUAAUUUACCAUCAGAGGCAGAGCCAGGAUUUCAAGUAAGGGGAUCAAUAUUCAAAGAAAAUUAAGUCGAACAAGGUUCAAUACCUACUAUAACCACAUAAAAAACAAUUUAAUCAUGUAUAAAUAGUAUAUUUUUUCGUCGAAGGGGGUUCGGACGAACCCCCUAAAGAGGGCUAGCUCCGCCUCUGUUUACCAUGGUAACAUACAUGUUCAUCAAGUAUGAUUAAGUAAAAUGAACUCUAUAUUCAAACGCAUGAUAUGCAUAUAUUGGCUUGAUGUAAAUAUCGGGUGUGAAUAAGUUUUUUCCUUCAUUUCUUUAUUAUGAUUUAGUCUGAUUCAUUUUAAUUCAUUAUUAUUCUACUCGAAGGGGAGCCUUGGAGUAACUGGUAAAGUUGGCUGCCAUAUGACCAGGAGGUCAUGGGUUCAAGCCUUGAAAACAGCCUCUGGCAGAAAUGUAAGGUAAGAUUGCGUACGAUACACUCUUUUGGUGGGGCCCUUCCCCAGACACCGCGUAUAGCGGUAGCUUUAAUGCACCGGGCUGCUUUUUUUACCCAAAUGUCACGACAGUGUUGAAUUAUGAUAAAUCGAAUCAAACAUGAUUUAUAAUAGGCUCAUUGAAUUUGUUUUACUAGUCAGAUAGUGUAGCCGCGUAUAAAGAUAAACUAUAUUGUAUAAAAUCACAAUCUAAAAUUGUAACUUGUUACAAAAUAUUACAUUGCGUUUCAGAGUAGAUUCUUUACAAAAUUUCUGCAUAGGAAACAUUAAAUAAGAGAGGAUAAAGUUCCACAAUCUCCUCUUCUUAAUAUGUUUAAAGAGACACAAUGGUUAUAGGAGUAUCCUAAGGUUGUGACCUCCUUUAUUGAUUUCGUUGACCUACAUAGAUGAUCCGAUCCAAUUUUCUUCACAUUCCACAUUGGGGGGUUAACGGACAUUAUAUGGUCCUGAACAAUCCGAAACUAAUUUCGUUGAACUAGGUCCAACUAACAAUAUUAGGCAUAACACAAACAAUGUUUGACCCUGCAUCACUUGUACCUUCAUGAGUAUUGAACUGCACUAAACAUUAUUUGGAACAAUGUUUCAUUCGAACAGGCAAGCACACCGUACUAAAAGCAGUCCAUUGUAGCUGGUUAUUCAAAAUGAAAAUUCAGACUAGAAACAACUAAACUGAUGAUAAAAUGCAGAGAAAUUCCAACGAAACUGGUGGUCUAAUAUCAAUCAAUCUUCUGCAGGCUCGUCGACUUCAGGACUCUCUUCUUCAGCUUUCUCUUGCUCAGCUUCCUGUACUUCCUUCUCUGUCUUCCUUCCUUUCUUUGAUUUAUAGUACACGUUCAUGAAUGUUCCUACGGCUUUGUAUUUUCUUCUGCACUUCUCGUACAGCCCUCCAUCAAACAUCCUCCAGAAGUUCUUCUCUGUCAGCUCAGUCACCGCAUACUGAGCCUGAAAUCCAUGGUUUUCGAUCAACCAAAGCUCCAGCUGGCGGCAUUUCUCAGUACCAUCAAAGGGCUCACCCCUCAGGACAGCUCCAGGAACAUAGUAGACGCCAACAUCAGUGUACAUUUGAGCAUAUUUGGUGUCACCCUGCCUUUUGUGUUCCUCGAAUCCUGGUUCAGGAUAGAUCAUUGGUCUCACUGGCAGCUUGUAAAUUCUGUGCGGGCAGAGCCAGAUGGGAUAUACCUAAACCAAUUUAAUUCAGAUAUCAUCAGAACAUGAGAAACAUGGAAGCAUGUCACGUGGAAAGUUGGAGUUAAAAGAGUUGCCAAAAAGGAAACGAACAUUCUUUUUGAAACGUACUAAAAAAAGAAAGCAAGACAAACUAAUUGAAAUGGAAUGAGUAUAGGAGUUUUACCUCCAUUUCGCGGUGGACAUACUCUAGACAGUCGCCGACUUUGUAAAGAGGAACAAGAAGAUCCUGAAUGACAUGAUGGUCGUGGUAGUAGUUCCUAAUAGCCUCACUUUGAGUGGCUUUGAGCAGAGCAAUUUUGGGUGGCAUGAGCCAGCCAAGAAGGAACCUGAACCAGAAUUGAUCGCCAAAUGGAAGAAUUAGUUUCCCUUCCCAAUACAAGGAUCUUGUGUGCCUGUGGUAGUAGUCCCUAGUUGGAAUGUACUCCACAAACUCCCCUCUUUUCAGCGCGGUUUGAGCAUGCUGAUAAAACCAUGGCUUGAACCACAAACCGUAGUUGUUGAUUACGUUACCCCUUUGCUUGGCUUCUUUCUUCGAAGCAUAUUCACCGGUCAUCAUAACACCUUCCGUGGGACUAUAAAUCAUGCCUUCUACCAUCUCUGGAACUUUAGAAGGAUUGUCCUGGUCUCCAUCUCUAGGUGCAAAAGAAUCCGCGUAAGCCUGUGCAAGUUCUUUAAGAUUACCAGUUACAGGUUUGUAGGUAAGUUUUACGUAUUCCUUGACUGGUAUAAGCUUGAUCUCAGCUGAAACAAGAAGUCCCAAUGUCCCCUGAGACCACGGGAUAGCGUAGAAAAGAUCAGAAUACUCAUUGUCCUUUGUAGCUCUAACAACCCGUCCAUCUGCUAGAACAACCUCAAGCGACACAACAGUGUCAGAGAACAAUCCAAAGAUGUGAGAGCUUCCUUCAACUCCGAAGCCAUUGAUCAGACCACCAACAGUGAGAUCAUCGAGCUCAGCAAGAACUGCGAGGGAAAGAUUCAUUGGGACAGUAACCCUUGAUAUUUGGGCCAUAUUGACUAGAGGCUCAACUUUGGCAAUCAUUCGUUCCGUGUCAAUUUCAAGUAUAUUUCUAAACUUGGAAAGAUCAACUUCAAAAUGACGAGCACGUUUAUAGUCAACAUUUCUCAUUCCAACAACAACCCACGGAGGUCUUGCCGUGCAGACAAGACCAUCCUUUGAUGCAUCCCUCUGUCCAAGGCGCUUCACAACCUCUUUAACAUUUUCUUCGUGUUCCAUCUGUCGCUGCUUGAAAGAUUUCCUCUCAGAUUUUAUAUCCCCUAGAUAUAUGGAGAAGUAAUACAGGCACGAGAAAGGAAGGACAAAGAAGAUAACAAGGAUCCAUCUGAAUUGGAGAAGAAAGUCCACCAAUUGGAUCUUCCUCUUGGAAUGAACAGGGGCCGGGGAGGCCUUAGCGUCCGACAUCUUGGAAGCUUGAGAUUGUUCAACUGUAACAACGAUGAAAGUUGAAACCAAGUUAUGAACCACAGACAUGAAAAGUACUUCAUGCGUAUCCAGAGUAUGACUUUAAUGUCCAUAUCUAAAUAAAUUUAGAUGAGCUAUAAAUAGUCUAGAGCAAUCUUGUCAUCAAAUCACAUAUAGCAACAAUCUAUAUCGCGAAGAGUUGAAGAAGAUCAAUCCCUUCUUUACAUGAUGAGUAUAAGAACAUAGCAUUGCAUAUAAUCUUGAAACUAAGUUGAAAUUGAUGCACGAUAACCAUUGACUGUCCACAAUCUUGCUACUAAUUUAUCAUUGUAAAAUCAACUGAUGCAAAGGUAAAACUGACUAAAGAUCUAGCUGAAUGCCUGAAUGUUCACCUCAACAUACUAUUUUACCAUUAAAGUCGAUCUUUAUUUUCGCCGCCAAAAGUCAUUUAACUUCGUCUAGUUGGCCUCCAUGAUCAUUUUAGUCGGAAAUAUAAUUUUUGAUAUAUCUACUAAAUGGCAUAACUACAAAUAUUCACAAAAAUAAAAUAAUUUAAAAAAUUAUUACUAUUUCAAUUUAUUUGGACCCCAACACACUUAAACACUACCUAAUUCUCAAACCGGUUCAAGUUGACGCACCAUAAAUCAACAGCUUAAAUGAAGUCAUGAUAAUGCCUAACCUAGACCCUCAAAAAUAUUCAAUCUUAGCCCUGAAAGUUCCAUUCUAGAUUAAGAUUUUUAUCUAUAGAUAAUCUUUUGAAAAUUAUAUUUCAUUACUCUUAAUUGCUACCAUUAUUAAUUACAUUAUUAUUGGGUAAAUAUUGUUUUCUUGUUUGUUGUUUCUCUUAGGCGGAAUACCCAAGAGACCUUUCUUUUUGUUUCGGAUUGUCAUCCCAAUUCCUGAACUUCACGAGUUUUUAUCCAAAACCCUGAACAUGUUCAAAUUAUUUAUUUUAAACCCCUCUAAAUUUGUGUGAUGCUCACUUGCUUGACGUGAAUGACAAAAUCAGCAUCUACGUCAAAUUUUAUUCCAAAACAACAGUUUAAUUUCAUAUUAUUAAACAAAACUCUAAUUUUAUAAAUAAAAAAAACAAAAAGAUAAAGACAAAAAAAAAAAAAAUUAAAAUUGAAGGGAGAUCCCUCCUCCCUUCUUCAAAUACUGCCAUGGCCCUCCCCCAUAGGGACCCUCACCUCCAAUAUCAACUCCUUUAUUUUACAAUCUUUACCCUCACUACUCUUUCCAAGAAAGUCGUCCAUCCAUUAAAAAUUCAACUAUAAAAUAUUUAGGAAACUAAUUAAAUUAAUAGAAGGAAAUUUAAAGAGAACUCCAGAUAGGCCGAGGGGUGGGGAGGUUCUUUUCUUUAUUCAUUUUUCUGAUUUUAAUUUGUUUAAUGAAAUAAGAUUAUACUAAAAUUCAUGUAGUGUAAAUCAUGCAUUUUGUCUAUUUCUGUCAUAUAAGUUUGGUAAACAGUCACACGUAGCUGGACAUAUUUUGGUUUAAACGGAGAAAACUGAAAAAUUGAAUCAAAAUUUAAUUUUGAUUUGAUUUUUUGAUUUUUCGGAUUGGUUUGAGUUUCAAAUUUUAGAAAUUUAGUUAAACGGUUUGGUGUUUGAAUUUUCCAAAAAAAUUUUUUUGGAUAAAUCGAAAAACCGAAAUCAUAUAAAUAAUAUAUUAUAAUUUAUAUAUAUUUUUUAUUAUAUAUUAAAUAUACUAAAAAUAUAAUAUAAUCUGAUAUAAAAUAUAAAUAUAUAAAUUAGAAUCAUUUAGUAACCCUAAAUCUUAAUAUAUUGCUUUGCUGUCAAUGGCAGUCGACAGUCAUUUGCUCAGUUCUUCACUGUCAUCGGCAGUCGCUGCCAAGUGUGGCCACUGCCGUCACGCCAACAGCGAUGACUCAAAGAGGUCGAUAUUUAUGGUUAUUUCAUGCGUGUUGAAUUAAUUAUAUUUGAAAAUUAAAAUAGAUUGGAAAAAAAAAUUAUUUUUCUAGAAAAAUCACCAAUUUUAAAUGCUCAUUAUUUUAAUCGUUAAAACCGAAAUAAAAAUCCGAAAUAAUCGAACCGAAUUUGUAUAAUCAAACCAAACCGAAAUAAUUUUGGUUUGAUUAUGGUUGUCAUUUUCGUCAAUUCGAAAAUUGAAAAACCAAAUCGAUAUUCAACAAUCAAACCGAACAAACCGACUGUCCACCUCUGUUUAAACUACCUGCUUUGAAUUAACACGCUUAGAGUCUCGAUGAAACCUCGUAAAAUAUAGAAAUCAAAAUGCAAAUUCAGAAAAAGUAUAACGGUGUAGCAGAUUAUUUCGCCUUUUAGAUUAUUCUCAAUAUUUGAGGAUAAUCCAUUCAAGUUCUCUAAACGAUUAGGGAGGAACAUUAGUCAACCAAAACAGAGAAAGUAACUCAUUGCAAAAAUGACAAUUCAUGUCAACAUGCAAAACAAACAAAUUUAACAUUCUGCUCCUUAAUCACUUCAAAAUAGCAACUGAUUCAGCAACAACUUUAUUUGCUCUUAACAAAAAAUUAGUUUUAUAGAUUUGAUGUAUAAUAAUUUGAAAAAUUAAACCGAGAACUACGGCAUGCAUGAAACACAACAACAUAUUCACCAACAAACUAAUUUGUUCUACUCCAAAUAUGUCAUGCAUUGUAAAAAAACAAAGGCUUUUCAACACAUAAUUUACUGCUAAAUUCUCAACACUUUUUAUGAUUUCAAGAAUAAAUAGCUUUAGAAUAAUAAUUUAACUAAGAAUUAAUGAUAGAGAAGUGAAGAAAAAAUGGUACCUGGUAAAUGGAGUGCACAGGAUAUAUACUACUCCUAAAGGAAACAUGAUUUUGGAAAAGCCAAUUGUGUGCUUUAUAGAGAGCUUUCAACAUUAGGGGCAUUUAUGGAAAAAAAAGAAGUUUGGUUGGUGGGAUGUUAUAUCCCAUAAAUUAUUUGAUUUCACUUUCUACGAUAUAUUUUAUCUCAUAUUUAAUUUUUUACUAAAAUAUGAUUAAAUAAUAUUUACUAUUAAUCAUAAAAUAUAUCAUGAAAUUACAUCGUUAUUCUACCAACUAAACGACCCUUUACUUACUACAAUUAUUGGACUAAGAACAAUUAGUAUCACUAUAAUUUUAUGUUCUUCUUUUACUUUUUUGAGAAUCGCUCUGUUCGAUAAUCAUUGGAAUCCAACAAAAGUAAGAAAUUUAAAAAGAUCUCUGAAGUGUAAACUGUUUUACAAAUAUGUUACUUCCUCAGUUUAAGUUUUUAUUUUAAGUUCAUUUUUUACGUGAAAUAUACUCUCUCUCUCAUUUUAUACCUCAUAAUUUGAUUGGACAUGGAGUUUAAGAAAUAAGUAAAGGUUUGAUAUUUUUCAUCAAACUAAUAACCCCUAGUCGUAUGAUAUUCAGAAACCAGAAAUCCAGAAAAUUUUCUAAGGUUCAAAAAUUCAGGAUGUUUCAUACUUGCUUUUAAUUUUACACUUAUUAUAUAUUAGCUUAGUUGUAUACGUCUUGCGCAUGUAACUUACCUUAUUGAGUUCAAACGUUACACUAAAUAGGAUAUUUGUUUAAAUAACAAGGAUGACUACAAUAAUUAAAUUCAACAUCAUUUGAAGAAUUUAUUUAAUUAAACCUAACAUUUAUCAAAAAAGAAAAAAACUGUCAAAGCCUAUCGACAUUCAUCUACCAUUUGUAAUUGCAGUAAAAUAAUACGAUGAUAGAGAUAUUAAAAUAAUAUAAUUAAAUCUAACAUUUACAUAAAAAAUUUCUCAAAACCGUCUGACACCCAUCUACCACUUGUAAACUAUAACAAAAUAAUACGAUAAUAAAGAUAUCAAAAUAAUACAACUAAACUUAACUUUUACACAAAAAAAAAUCUCAAAACAGAGAUAUAAAAAUAAUACAAUUAAACCUAACUUUUACCUAAAAAAAUUCCUCAAAGCCGACCGACAUUCAUCUACCACCUGUAAAUCCAUCUACUAUCUGUAAACUAUAACAAAACAAUACAAUAGUGAUUACAAAGUUUCAAUUUUGAUGAAAAUAAUUUUUUUCUUAGCGAAAAUUUUGACCCUGAAAAAUGACUUGAAUAAAAAUAAAGAAGAUAUAUAUACACACAGUUGAUUUCUAUUAUGUUGACAAAAACAGUAAAGAAGUUGAGGGUUAAAAGAUUAGGCAUCCAUCAAUCUAGACAUGCAACCGAAUCAAAUUAGAUGAGCAUUAAUUAUAUUUUCCCAAUAAGUAAAUCGAAUUCUUCAGUUGUUUAACGCGCAUCUCAAUAUUUAUAGAAGUAUUAACUUAAUAGAGUCCUAUUUUAGAGUAUUUUUCUAUUCUAUUUUAGGAGUAUUUUUCUAAUUGAUCAAUACAAAGGAAAAUAUUAAUUGAUUCUCCUUCCUAUAUUUUAGGAGUCUCAUAUAUUUUAAGAUUCUAGUUAAUAUAAUAAAAAUAAUUAAAUAAUAAAUUGAAGAAAAUAGUGAAAAGAUAAUUUUAUUUAAAGGAAAGUGACAAAAAGUGUAAAUCACUUUUUUAAGGAUCUUCACACUUUUAAUAUAUUAUUAUUAUCAUUAUUAUAAAUUAUAGAUAUAUGAUUAAUUUUAUAAAGUUAAUUAAAUAAUAGUUGAAGAAAAUUGACGAAAGGACUCCAAAUUGGAAAAGAAAAAAAAUUAACGUUGGAAUCAUAUAAAAUUGAGGAACGGAAAAUAAGAAUUUUUACCUUAACACACCUAAUGCAAUAAAUCUUCCCACGUCUCUUACCAUAUUUAUAGAUUUUUUUUAAUACUCUUUCUUAAUUAUCAUAUAUUUUAUUACUCCUUUUUCACUUACAAAACAAAACCAACCAAAAUUUAUUCUUCAUAUAUUUUUUCUCUUACCAUAUAAUUUAGAACUCCUUAAUCUUUUCAGAUUAUAAUUAAUUUUAUAAAUUUAAUUAGAUAAUAAUUGAAGAAAAUUGGUGAAAAGACGAUUUUGUCAAAAAGAAAGAUUUUUAAUGAAGGGUAAAAAGUUCAAAUCAUAUUUCUAAGGGUCUUCACACUUUUAAUAUACUAGUCAAGUGUACGUGCUUUGCACGUAUGUCUCGCGUUAACUAAUAAUAAUUUUUUUAUAAAGAAAAAAAAUUAUUGUUUGUAUGUAAUAAUAUUAAGUACACAACUUUUUAAAAAAAUUAACGUAAAAUUUUUAAGAUAAAAACUGUACUUAAAGAAAAAUAUGAUAACUUACCAGCACAUCUGUGGGAUCUGAAAAGGGUAAGUAUACACAAUCCAUAACUAACCUUCAACAAAUGAAAAAUAUAUAAUACAUAAACAUGUUCUUUAACUUGACGUCAAAUCACAUCUAUGACCUCUAACUUUGGGUGUGAACAAGUAGAUACUUAAACUUGUGUAAAGUUAAACAAGUAAACAUACAUAUCCUAUGUGGCAUAAUACACAUAGAACACCAUGUAAGACAAGAAUUAGUCACGUAGGACAUCACAUAGGACAUGUGUCUACUUGUUCAACUUUAUAAUUUACUUGUUCAACUUUAUACAAGUGUCUACUUGUGCAUACCCAAAGUUGAAGGUAAUAGAUUUGAUCCGAGACCAAAUUAAAGGGCGUGUUUAUUUAUUGUGCCAAUGAAAAAACACCAAUUUUACUUCAUGUACAAUUCCACUUUUCCCACGCCAGCUUACUGAUUUCCAUUAUAUUAGUAUUAUAACAUUGUGUCAAUUUAUUAUGACUUGUAUUACAAUUGUCAUAUAUUUUGGAGUUUUCCUAUUUAUUUAUAAAGAUAUUGAUACCUUAAUUAGAGGGAAAAAAAGGUGAAAAGACAAUUUCAUCUAAACCAGAUACUUUUAAUGAAGGCAUUAGUGAUACUUUUUUUCCAUGAACAAAUAAACUAUUAAAAUAAUAAUUUUAUUUUUAAUGAGCUAAAGUUAUUAUUUUCCUACUAUCAUAUAUUUUAUGAUUCUUUAAUUACUAAUCAUAGAGAGAAUUAUAAAAUAAUAGUCUAACAAUUUUUUUUUUAUAGAAAAUAUACUAAAAGUACCUAGAUAUAAACCAAUAAGAAACUACAUAUUUUUGCAACACAAUAGAAAAAUCAAAGAAAAAGAAAAGGCAUAUAUUAUCAAUAGAAAAAUAUAGAAAGAUGAAGAAUAAUACACAUAAUUAGUCUUUAAUUUUUAUUUACAUCAUCAAGAAACAAAGAAAUCUUCAACGACGAUAAAAAAGAAAAAUUUAUUUUCCUAUUGUCAUAUAUAUUAGAAUUCUUUAAUUAUUAAUUAUAGAGAGCAUCAUAAAGUAAUAGCCUAACAAUACAAAAUCCAUAAAAAAAUAUAACUGAAAAUAUCUGAAUAUAAAUUUGUUAAGAAACUACAUAUUCCUACAACACAAACAAGAAAAAAGAAAAAAGAACAGACAUACAUUAUCAAUAGAAAAGUAGAGAAAGAUGAAGAAUAAUACAAAUAUUUAUUUUUUAUUUUUUCUUUAAAUCAUCAAGAAACAAAGAUAUUUUGAAUGGCGAUAACAAAGAGAAAUUAUAAAACAUAUUUUGUAAUGAACUAAAUCUACAUAUGACUGGUACAAAAAAAUAUAUAAUUAUAAUGUUGAGAGAAUAAUCUUCUCUACACGACAGCGUUGUUGUGAAAGAAACAGUAAUCAAUUUAUAGAAUUUCAAAUUCUUUUCUUCUAGGAAAAGGAUUCUUUAGAUAUGAGAAAAAGUUAUUUUUCUUUUGAAAAAAAGGAAGAAUCAACUAUGCUAUUAAAUAUUUAAGAUAUUAUUAUAUUAUUAACUAAACAAAUUAUUUAGGAUAAUAUUUAAUUUCUUUUUCUUUUCAGAUCAUAAUUGUAGUUAAAGUUCUAAAGUGACUUGUACUCUUUUCAUGCUUCACGUGACUAAUUUAGGAUGUGGGGAGGGGGAGGGGGGAAGGUUACCAUAUUUUUUAGUAGUUUAUGUAUAUUACAUUUUCUUUUAUCAUAUAUUUUAUAAAUCCUCAGUUUUAUAUAUUUCAUGAGUUACUAUUAUAAAUAUAAUUAAAUAAUAAAUUAAAAAUAUUAAAAGAUGAUUUUAUCUAUUGUGUGGAUUUUUAACGAAGAAUAAAAAAUUUAGAUCUCUUUUUUAAGGGUCUUUACAAUUUUAAUAUAUUAUAGAUGAAUCAUUAUAAAUACAAUAAAAUUCUCAAUUAGCAAUUGUAUAUCGAAAAUACAUAACAACAACAACAACAACAUACCCAGUGUAUUUCCGCCUAGUGGCGUCUGGGGAAGGUAGAGUGUACGUAGACCAUACCAGUACCUCAGGUGAAGUAGAGAGAUUGUUUCCGAUAGAUCCCCGGCUUAGAACCAAUAACAAUAUAACACACACAAAACAUAAAAAUGUAUAUCGAAAAUACAUGAUAAUUUAUUUUUCUAAAGAUGAAAAAACGUGCCAAAAUUUUAGAAAACUUGCCUAAAAUCACAAACAAAUUUGUCUCUUUAAUCAUAAGAUAUAUUAAGAUUUCACCCAAAAACUUCUCAAUUAACAAUUAUUUAUUAAGAAUACAUAAUAAUUUAUUUAUUGUAAACGUCACAAACAUUCUAAAGUUCAGAAAAACUUACCUCAAAUCACAAGCGAAUUUGUUUCUUUCAUAAAUCGAAACUAUCAAGAUUGUAAACAUCAAGAACAUAAUUAAAUUUUAUAAAACUUACCUCAAAUCACAAGCAAAAUUAUCUCUUCAAUCAUAAGAUAUGUUAAGAUUUCACAAAAGAACUUCUCAAUUAACAAUUAUUUAUUAAGAAUACAUAAUAAUUUAUUUAUUGUAAACAUCAAAAACAUUCUAAAGUUCAGAAUACUUACCUCAAAUCACAAACAAAUUUAUCUCUUUCAUUGAUUGAUACUAUCAAGAUUAUAAACAUCACAAACUUGAUUAAAUUUUAGAAAACUUACCUCAAAUCACAAGCAAAGUUGUCUCUCCUAAGAUAUGUCAAGAUUUCACAAAACUAACUUCUCAAUUAGCAACUGUAUAUCAAAUAUACAUGCAAUUUAUAUAUUGUAAACUUCAAGAACAUAUUAAAGUUUAGAAAAUAUACCUAAAAUCACAAGUAAAUUUAUCUCUUUAAUCAUAGAUAUUAUCAAGAUUUCAAUUGGUAGAAAAUUCUAUACCUAAACUUAUUUUUCCUCUACAUAAUUUUUUUUUUCGAUAUUAUCAGCUUUAAAUCCUCCUAACAAAUUCUACGAUAAGAUCACUAAAAGCUCAAACAAUAUAUGCUUAAUAUGCAGUAAAAUAUUAUAUCAUGUAGUCUUGCACGUAGUGAUAAAAAUAAAUGCAACAUGUAGGCUUCAUAACUUCUUUAUAUAACUCUUUAUAUAGAUAAUUGAAGCAUUAGUAUUCAUGUACUAAUCAAACAACUUAGCAUGAUAGAGUUCUAUGUAAAUUUAUACUUUUAUUAAAAAUAGUUUUUUCUACUUUUAUGAAGGAUGGGUAGGUUUUAAGUAUUUGUAAAACGUGGCUACAUAUUGUUGAUUGAUAAACUAAAUAUUUCCUUAAUUAAAUAGAUUAGGAGCAUAAUUCGGAAAGUGGUAUUAUUAAAAUAUAUUUUUUUGUUUAUUAUAUAUUUUAAGAUUCCUUAAUUAUUGAUUCUCCUCAUAUCUUAUCAUAUAUUUUUCUCUUACCAUAUAUUUUAGGAUAGUAAAAGAACAAUUUUAUCUAUUGCAAUGUGUUCAAAAAUUUCAAAUCACUUUUCUAAGAGUUUUUACACUUUUAAUGUAUUAUAAAUUAUUAUAAAUAUAGAUUAUCUUUUAUUAAAAUAAUAUAUUAUUAUUAUUUUUAAUUAAGUGGGACCAAUAAAGAUAAAGUGGAAUUAUAUGUUUAAAAAUUUAUCAAAUAAGAAAAAAUGAUAUUUUUUUAAACGAACAAAAAAAAAAAGAAAUGACGACACAUAAAAUGAAACGAAGGGUUAUAUUUUUCAUUUUUUUUCUUUAAUUUUUUAAUAAAUACUAAAGUAUUACCGUAUCAAUACCAAAAGACAUAUAAUAAUAAUAUACUCAAUAGAUUUUUAUAAAGUGAAAUCUAAAAAAAUAAUCAGGAUAUAAUUCAUACUCCAUAUCACUACACAGACGAAAUAGAGAAAUUGUUAGCCUACUAAAAAAAAGAAUGCCUAGUGAUCCUAGAGAAACCCAUACUACUUAUUGAAUCAAUAAGAUAACUAUUCUUCCUACCUCUAGCUGAUUCCAUGUAUACCCCCAAUCUCUCUUCUGUCUUUGAUUAGAAUAAGUUAGUUUGGAAUUAGUUAUUUUUUGAUAGAUCAUUUUAUAGGAUAAAGUUAUUCUCAUUAUGUAUAUGAAAUAAUUUAUUUAAUAAAUAAUUAUAAAAUUAAAUAAUAAUUCCAACCAAACGUAUAAUAAAAUAAUUUUGUAUUUCAUCUCAAAAUUAUUAUAUCCACUACCUCAUACCAAACAACUUUUAACAAUUCGAAUUUUCUUUCAAUACAACAGUAUUCUGUACAUCUUGUUUGAUGAAGAUCGUCGUGUUUCUUGACAUCCAUAGUGUCCAUAUUUUUCCAUUUUCGAUGGUUCUUUAGUUUUACUUUUUAAUACGACGUAUAUAUUUAAGGUCACAAAAUUAAAAAAAUAUAUUUUAAUUUAAGAUUAAAAAAUUUAAAAAAUAUAUAUAAAUUUUUAAAUGCUGUGUCAAAUUAAAUCAAAAGCAAACAAACAAAUUGAAAUAACCAAAACAUCUUUUUAGAUGAACUCAAAAGAAAGCGUCUAAUAAGACUAAAAGCAUUGCCCUCGAGGGGGUGGUUGAGUUAGUUUGAGGGGGAUUUUUCAUAGCGGAGGAGAGGUCGUGGGUUCGAUUCAUUCCUAAUGUCUUUUCAAUCGAGAUCGUAGCAUGGGGUUUACCUAGUGCGAUUUACAUCUUCUGUGUGGUUUGUGAGCUAUUGCACAGUAAGGGAUUUACCUAGUACGCAUACAGUGUUCGCCACAGAGUGAUCACCCAAAGAAAAAAGAUUGUGACAGAAGAUGUAGCGGCUGCGAAUUUUUCAUGAAAUUUCCAAAAAAAAAAAAAAAGACAAAGCAUUACUCCACUUCAAAAGUCAAACUCAUAAAGAAUCGCAUCUCAAAUGGUAACUAGUAAGAUUGAAAAAAUUUAAAAGUACUAUAUAAAUUCUAAUAAUAAUACUUUGCAAUACUAGUAUAAUUUUUUGAUUCUUGAAAAAAAAAAAAAAAAAAAGAAGAAAACAACUUUAUUGCAAGUUCUAUCACUGUGAAAUUCAGAUAGUUGUAUCACAUUUUUCAAGAAUCUGGAAGACGUCGUGGAGGACAAAGUAACAUACAGGGCGCUGGCAAAACCACGUGACGUUGGGUCCACUUUGCUCUCCCUUAUUUUCUUCAAACAAUAGCGGAUCGUUUGGUAGAAUACAUAACAAUAAUACAAAAGAUGAUGUAUUAGUAAUGCAUGUAUUAGAUAUGCUUAUAUUAGUUACGCUUAUAUUUUUCUUAUAUAAUAUUUGAUUUGAGAUAUUAAAAAUAAUAUAAAUUACAUAAUUUUUUUUAAAAAAAUACAGAUAAACCCUCCAUAUAUAUAUUGAAAAGGAUGUGAAAUUUUUUUGCGGGAUAACAGUAUCUUUAAUCAUGUUAAUGCAUGCAUUGAAUUCAUUACAUUACUAAUAUCAUGAAUUUUGAGGUAUUAAUAAUACACAACUCAAUACAAAAUAAAAUGUUUUGUUAUACAUAAAGUGAAAAAUAUAUCAAAUAAAAUACUCAUGGUAUACAUUAAACUAAUACAUAAAUUUACUUUUCAAUACAUACAUGAUUAGCAACGAAUGCAGUGCAGUGAAAUAUAACUUCUCCUUUCUUAAUUAAAAAUUUUGAAUAUAAAAUUAUUUUUUUUGAUAGUGAACGUUACCUAUAAAUUAAGUCCUAGCCGACAUAAUUUCAAUUAGUUGACUCCACGUCCCCGGUGAGUAUCAAAUAUCAUAUCAAAUGAGAAAUCAAAAAUAGAAAAAAGACUUCAUUACAUAACUCCCUCUGUUCUGUUUUUACGACGCCUUACUUGGCUUAGGUCAUGACAACCUCUUAAAUUUGUUUCUUACAAUUUCACUUAAAUCGUUGAACUGAUUUUAAAUCUAUCAGAACAUUUUUACUCUUUUAAAUGUAAAUUAUUUAAAUAUAUUUUUAACAAUAAAUUAUAAAUAUAACAUAUAUGCAUUAUACCCGUAGUGACAUCAUAAUUUAACAAAUUAAAUAAUGACACAUAUGGUAUGAAUACAAAAAUUAUUUUAAAAUAUAUCACAUAGCAACAAAAGAACAUUAAUUUAAAAUUAAAAAAAUUAACUUAACCCCUCCAUCCACCACCACCAAUUGUUGUCUUCUUCACUCCAUUGAAAUCGAGGCAAGGAAGAAGAAGGGAAAUAUUUUUUAAUUAAAAAUGCUUUUGUUAAAUGCCUCUCAUGCGCCUAUCAAACGUGAAUCGCAUAUAGUGUGCCAUGUAGGCAAAAGUGUUUAAAUGAUUUAAAUGCAGGAUAGUAAAGGUGUUUAAUAGGUACAAAAUUUAAUUAAGUUGUUCAAGUAAAAUUUUAAAAUAAGUUUAAGAGUCGAUUGAUGACUGAAGCAAAAAUACUUUCUUUGUUUCUAUUUAUUUGUACAGACCUCUCUAUAAUAUCAUCUUAUUAUAAUAAUAUUUUAUUAUAGUAGGCUGAUUUUUUCCAAAAUCAUUUUUUCAUGUUAUAUUUUAUUUUUCUAUUAUGACAUUCUACCUAUUAUAACAAUAACAUUUAUUAUAAUGGUACACUCUUUGUAAAAUUACCUCUUUAUAACAACAUACUCAAAUAUUAUGUAAGAAAUAUGUUAUUUACAAAAUAAAGUACAAAGCAUUUAUGAUAAUAAUUAUUGAUGUCAUGGACCCGGUAUAUUUCAAAUACGAAUAUCUAAUUUAAAGAAAAAAUUGUAUUUAGAUAGUGUAAAUUAGUUAUUUCAUAACUUCACGAGGAAAAGGAUAUUGAUGUUUGUCUUUUCUAUAUUCAUGCUCUAUCUAAUUUUGCAUACUUUUGUUUAUAAUAGUUAAAUAAGAUUCAAAUGUCAGACUAUAUAUACAACAAUACAUUCCUAUAGUAGCCAUGAAUUUUUUGGACAAACGCGAACACUGUAGAGAGGUUUAACUAUACUCUUUUAGAAAAUCAUUACUCCAUUCAUUCUUUUUUAUUUGCUUCAUUUAUGUUGGGCACACCUUAAUAAGCCUUUUACUUGUACAAAAUUAAAGGUAUUUUAUCAAUAUAUCCCUAAUUAAAUUUUACACCCUUUUUCAAAUCAAUAACAAUUAUAUUUAUUGUACAAUCACAGAAUAAAAAGAUUUUAUUUAAACUAUUCUUGAAAGAUUAAAGGAGCAAACAUUUCGAAAUACAAGCACAAUUCAAUCGGAGAAAAUAAAAAAAAUGGAGGAAGUAACUAGAGAAAAUUGAAGGAAAGGUGUCUUUUAAGUCUUGAAUGAAGGAUUGGCGACAUUGACCAACUUAAAGGGUCAAACAUAAUUAGAAAACUUGAUUAAGUUAAUUGUGGACUUGAUUAAUAUUUUCAAAACCUUUUAAUAUUUUCAAAAAUAAAAAUCAACCCACACCCCUCUUCAAUCCAAAUCAUCCGUCUCUUUUCUCUCUUGAGACAGCUUCUCCGAUAAAUAGUCGGAUGGGUUUCUUUUCGACUUUCAACCGUCAAUUGACGUGAAGACUUCUCCGGCGAAAAUAACUUCGAGUUCUUCAUCGUCCCAUUUUUUUUUCACAGAUAAAAAAUUAUGAAGAAACAGAGGAACUUGAGCCAACUACUGUUCUAUUAUUGGUUUAUAAUUUCAAUAUUUCUUGCUUAAAUUUGGAAUGUGGACUAAAUAAAAUCCUAAUUUCUGGCAUUUCUUCUUCUUAUUGUCGAACUAUUGAUUCAGAUUUAUCGGUGAUUUUUGAUUACCAUUGAUGUUCUUAAUGUGUGUGUGUGAUAUGUUGGUGUUGCUGGAUUGAUUUGUUGUUUGUCUUGGUAAAAAUAGUGCUGCAACAGAUGAAAUAUCUGAUGCAAUAGAUGAAUAAUCUAACAGAUCAUUUAUCUGUUGCGACAGACGACUCUUCUAUUUGGAAGAAAUCUAAACAAUAUUGAUCCAAUAGAUAACUCAUUUUGCAACAGAUGAGUGAUAUGUUUCAACAGAUCAGUGAUCUGUUUUAUUAUUUCCAAUGGAUUACUCAUCCAUUGCAACAGAUUGGUUAUAUAUUGCAACAGAUAACCUGCCUGGUGCAAUAGAUCAGUGAUCUAUUUUUACUGUUUCCUGUGAAUUACUUAUCCGUUGCAACAGGUUGGUUAUAUGUUGCAACAGAUAAACUACCUGGUGCAAUAAAUAAGUGAUCUAUUUUUACUGUUUCUAACGGAUUACUCACCCGUUACAACAAGUUGGUUAUUGUUGCAACAGAUAAACUACCUGGUGCAACAGAUUAGUUAUUUAUUUUUACUAUUUUCAAUGGAUUACUCAUCCGUUGUAACAGGUUAGUUAUAUGUUGCAACAAAUAACCUUCCUGGUGAAUAGAUGAGUGAUUUAUUUUUAUAAUUUCCAACGAAUUAAUUAUCCGUUGCAACAGGUUGGUUAUAUGUUGCAAUAGAUAAACUACCUGGUGCAACAGAUUAGUGAUCUAUUUUUAUGGUUUUUAAUGGUUUACUCAUCUAUUGCAAUAGUUGGUUAUAUGUUGCAUCAGAUAAACUACCCGGUGCAAUAGAUUAGUGAUCUAUUUUUAUUGUUUCCAAUGAUCUUCUCAUCCUAUAUGUUGCAAUAGAUAAUAUACUUAGUGCAACAGAUGUAUGGUCUGUUGGAACUAUUAUUUUACUAUUGUGCAUGUUAGUUUUACGGUUAUCCUUUUUUAACGAUGCAUUAAUCAAUUAUAAUUUUUUUUAUGUUCAUGUUAAUUUAAGAUAAUAUGGCUAAAAAAAAAGAAUUCGAAUCAAGUCCAAGUAAAGGAACAAAUGAAGCAGCUCGGCUACAUCCACCACUCUAUGAGCUUGCUUUACAAGCGCUAUCUCAAUCAGAAGCAGAAGAUAAUGAACACGAGGAGGAGGAAUAUUUCAAAAUAGAUAAUCCAAAUGCUAAUAGCCCUUUCGCUGAAGAGUUGGUCAAAACCUUCAGCAUUGAUCAUUAUCCUGUGAGAAUGCAGUGCGAUGGUUCCACAGAUUUAACGGGUGAUUUCGUGGUUAAGUAAUCCAUGGAAAAAUCUUUCGACGCCUUCAAAAAAAUACUUUGAGAACAAAAAUUGAAUUCUUAUUCCAGGGAAAACUGAUUUGGGCAAUAUCUUGAUUUGUCGGAGGACAACAAUGCUCGUUUUCAGAUGAAAAUGGUAUAUGAUCAUCUCAAGCUCAGGUUUAUGUAUGAUAACAAAGAUAAGAUGGAUGAGGUGUGGAUAAAUUACUGUGGUAUGCCUGUUUGUUUUGGUUGGAAGGAGUUUCCCAUAGUUACUGGACUAAAAUAUUUUUCUUCUUCUCCUUCUCAAGUUAUACCUACUCUAAUCCUAAAAAAACAUCCCGCACACCCAAAAAAUACAAAGGCAAGUCGAGUGAUCGUGAUGACCUGGUGUCCAUUGUUGUUCUAAGCUUCAAAAAUAAAAAUUUAAUAGAAGCGUUGAAAGGUAAAGGACUUUCAAAAAAGCACAAGCAAUCAUUAUGCUUGGUUUGGUUUGUACAUAAUAUUCUUUGGGCGAGAGACGUUAACAACAACAUAAGCCUCGGUUUAAUAAAUAUCUCCGAGGAUCUUGAGGCAUUUAACAACUAUCCUUGGGGUUAUGAAAGCUUCAAAAUGACUGUCAAAUAUUUGUUGACUCCGUUAAUGCUAAAGACAGUCAACUUAUAUAGCUUUCCAUGGGCCUUCAUGGUAAAUAUUUUUUUUUUUUAUCAUGAUAUGAUUUAUUUUUUUAUUCAAUAAUUCUUUUGAUUUAUUGUCUUUAUUUUAUAGGUUUGAGCAUUUGAAAUCAUUCCUUAUUUGAGACAACAAGUGAACUACCAGGAAGAAGUUUUCUGUCCAAGAAUCCUAAGAUAAUUGUCGGCCAAAACUGAUAAAAAUGCAAAAAAUUCUAUCUUUUCAAUCCCCCAAAGAAAGCAAAAAGUCUAAUUCUAAUCAAGUUUUUAUUUUAAUUAAUGAUUAUUUAAAAUAAUUUCAUCACCAUUCUAAUAUAUGUAAUGAUUUAUUUUAGAUUGUCCAUCCGUGGCUUGUUUCGACCAAUCGAGAGUUGAAUAUGCCAUUUUUUCUUACUUUACGGUCUGUGCAAACUUUAUCGGAUCCUAAGGUCGUUGAUGGAAUAAAAAUAAAAUUAUUUAAAGCAACAACCAUCACAAGAAAAAUAAUUUUGGAGGGUGGGCUUAUUGUUAUUGCUUAUAGUAGUGGUAGUGGUAGUGGUGCUGUUGUUGGAGCUAAUGAUGCUCCUCUUACAAUUUUUGAAACAACAAGCCAUUAUGAUUAUGAUCAUACUGGUUAUACAGAUUUUUCUCCAGAUUGUGCCACAUUUAGCGAAUGUUCUGCAUGCAAAUUUUAAGACUGCAAGGCAAAAUAUUAUGGAGUGAUUAAUACUAUUAAUGGACUAACUGCUUCUGUAAAGAAAAUUACAUCUAAUAGUGGUGUCAUUCCAUCAAAGAGGAUUUCAUAUCCAUACACUCCACUAGAGAUUAAGGUGGCUAAGAGGAGAAGGAAAGAUAUUUCCAAGGUAUCAUCAAGCAUAAAAAAAGCAAAAUUACAAUGCCUUUGUCUUUGUCUUACACCAUUCUUCAGUGUGCAAGGGCCACCGGAGAGCAGCAUGAGCUGAAGAAGGUGAAUGUAUAUCAUUUGUUCCAACAAACAAACAGGCACAUAUCUAUUUCAAAAGAUGAUACAUCUGCUGAAAAUUAUCAAACAGAUAUAUACAUCUAUUGCAACUGUUGUCUAAUCUGUUGCAUCAGAUGCAUUAUCUGUUGCAACAUAUGUCCGUCUGUUUGAGCACAUCACAUAAGUUUUCGUACUAUUUUAAUUUCAACCAACAGAUGAGUCUUAUAUUGCAACAGAUGGGUCAUCUAUUUGAAGUUAUCGUACUGCUCUAUUUUACCUAUUCGAAUUUAUCCCAACAGAUGAUCCAUCUAUUACAACAUAAGACUCAUCUGUUGUAAUAGAUAGAAAAUUUGUUGUAUAUCUGUAAUUAGCAUUGACAAUUUUGGCUUUUCAGGUGAAUGUCACAACAGAAGCUACUGCUGAAGAGCAUAAUAUCACAGUUGAUAAUCCUUCAACUGCUUUCAAAGAAAAAGAAAAAGUGGAGCCUGUCAGUUCGAGAGAAUGGAAGAAUUAUUCAUUUGAAGGGUUCAACAUCUCGGACGAAGCUAAAAAAAAAAACUAACAAAGUUGAUCAACGACUAUUCAGAAUGGAUUGCCAAUGGGCUGUUAAUGCAUCAUGCCGCCAGGUACAUAAAUCAACUUUAAAGAUAUUGAUUUAUACAAUUUUUGUUGUACGAACAUGACAUUAACAUAUAUAAAUCAUCAUGUAGAAAACAAAAUGAUGAACGCUACAAAGUGAAUGAAUCAAUUUUGGUUUUGAUAUGUUCGACUUUGUUGAUGCACAUCCCGGAAUGAAGAAUUGGUUCUAUUUGAUGUCACAGCCCCAAACUUGCUGGAAUGAUGAGGUUUAAAUGUCAUACAUAUUACUAUUAAUUAAUACUUUAUUUAAUUGUAUCUGCGUAUUAAUUUUUUCAUCACGUAAUUCAAAAUAUUUGAUAAUAUGUGAAGCACAUCUAUGUUAUUUUUACUACCUACGAAAGAAGGCCAAGUUGCAAACACCAAAAUAAAAUAGAUACACGACAAAUAAUUAUUUGUACGAAGUUUACAUCAAUAAUGCCUACGAUAGGUAUUGUCAACAACAGCUGGAAGUUUAUUGAAAUGAGGAAUGCUUAAUCAACAUCAUCAAAGGUUUUAGCAUUCCAGCUGGCUUACCUUGUCAUUUGGUCGACGAAGUGUACAUCCCAAUCAAUUAUGGUGAUGAAUUUCAUUGGGUGUUGGCUGUCGUCGUUCUAAAAGAGAGGCGCAUUCGAGUUUAUGAAUCGAUGUCGCGAAGGAGACAUUUUGGGCCAUUGUCUGAGAUACAAAAUUUGGUCAAAAUAUUGCCUACUUACCUUGAUAUGAGUGGUUUUUUGGAUAAAAAGGUUCGUAUUGAUUGAUCGAUGAUUGAAGCAUAUCGAGAUAAAAUGGAUAAUCUUUUUGAUGUACAAUAUGUUGAAAAAAUUGAUCAACAAACCAUUGGUAGCCUGUAAGUAUAAGUAUUAUGAUUUAGUUCCAUUUCAUAAAUUUCACAAUGCUUACAUAGAUUACAAGUACCAAAUGAUGGCCUUGAUGCCAGAUUACUCCGCAAAAGAUAUGCUGCUCUUUUAUGGAAAUAUGGAGAAGUGAAAGCUCAGAAGCCGUAUGCAAGUGACAUUAAAUAUCCAUGACGACCAAAGACAAAUUUCGUAGCACCGGAUGAAGAACAACUUGUCCAUAUUGAUUAGAUCUUUAUAGCUUGAGCCCGUCAAUGUAAUAACCUAUCCUCCUUGGUUUAAGUUGUUGAUUUAUUUGUAGAGUAGAUCAUUUAUACCCAUAAUACUUUUUUUACAUUUCAUUUAUUUGUUGAGUUAUUUCAUAUAAUUUUCGAAGGCUUCGAUUCAUUUUAUGUUGUCUAUGAAUAUAAAAUAAUCCUUAGUUUUGAACAUAUUAAUUGAAAUGAAAUACUAGAUUCAAAUAUCACAACAGAUAAUACAUCUGUUGCAACAGACGACAUAUCUUAUCAAACAGAUUACCUAUCUAGUUAGGUCAUCUGCUGAAAAUUAUGUAACAGGUCUUCCUACUUUUUUAAUUUAUUCCAACUGAUUACCUAUAGUUGCAACAGAUAGAUAUAUGUUGCAACAAAUUGUAUAUCUGUUGCGACAGACAAAUUGAGAAACAACUGAAUAAUGCAACAAAUGACCAACUUAUUCCAACAGAUAAUCAAUCUAUCACAAUAGGUAUUAUAUCUGUUAUAACAGAUAUACAAUCUGUUGCAUUAUAAAAAUUCAAAUUUCGCUAGACAUAAAAAUUAUUGCCACUACAUGUAAAGUGAAGUGGCUUGAAAUAAAAAAUUAUUAUCGUGUUCGUCUCUGUCUUUAUACAUAUUCUUCUUUACAUACGGCUCCAACCAUUUAGUUAGGUCAUCUGCUGAAAAUUAUGUAACAGGUCUUCCUACCUUUUUAAUUUAUUCCAACUGAUUACCUAUAGUUGCAACAGAUAGAUAUAUGUUGCAACAAAUUGUAUAUCUGUUGCGACAGACAAAUUGAGAAACAACUGAAUAAUGCAACAGAUGACCAACUUAUUCCAACAGAUAAUCAAUCUAUCACAAUAGGUAUUAUAUCUGUUAUAACAGAUAUACAAUUUGUUGCAUUAUAAAAAUUCAAAUUUUGCUAGACAUAAAAAUUAUUGCCACUACAUGUAAAGUGAAGUGGCUUGAAAUAAAAAAUUAUUAUCGUGUUCGUCUCUGUCUUUAUACAUAUUCUUCUUUACAUACGGCUCCAACCAUUUAGUUAGGUCAUUUGCUGAAAAUUAUGUAACAGGUCUUCCUACUUUUUUAAUUUAUUCCAACUGAUUACCUAUAGUUGCAACAAAUAGAUAUAUGUUGCAACAAAUUGUAUAGCUGUUGCAACAGACAAAUUGAGAAACAACUGAAUAAUGCAACAGAUGACCAACUUAUUCCAACAGAUAAUCAAUCUAUCACAAUAGGUAUUAUAUCUGUUAUAACAGAUAUACAACCUGUUGCAUUAGAAAAAUUCAAAUUUCGCUAGACAUAAAAAUUAUUGCCACUACAUGUAAAGUGAAGUGGCUUGAAAUAAAAAAUUAUUAUCAUGUUUAUUUUUGUCUUUGUAUAGAUUUUUUUUACACACGGGCUCCAACCAUUUAGUUAGUACCCUAUAAGCCCAGACCUCUUGCAUGUUUCCCACAACGGCAUCGCAUAUACCAGUUAUUUCUAGAUCGAUCAGCAAAUACUCGAUGUAUGCAAGUGAGUACGGCCCACACGCUGCAUCAUUUUUAUUUGUUUAGAGCUGGAUGUUCUUAUCUCGACUUUCAAAAUCCCAUGAUUUCUUCCUCAAGACUUCCGCCGGCAAAUGAUCCAUCAACUUACUCUGCGUCAACAACUUGGGGAAUAACUUUAAGAGUGGCUUCACCUGGGUUAAAAACGUAUCCUCAUUGAAGAUAGGUAAGUUGCAGUCAUAAACCUUAAUCUUUCCCUCGUAGAGUAGUAUCUCAACAGUGAGAUAUUUGACUUUCACGUUCAUGACUGCAAGGAUUCUCUUUGCCUUGGUCCAGCUCUUGCUGUGUGGAUAUGACCUCUUUCCUCUAAAAUAUUUAAUCACGUAUUCAUCCUUAUUAAAUCUCCGACCAUUGGGACCAGCCUGCCUACAGAGAUCAUCAUACCUACUCUUGAAAUUGUUGAAGAAGUUGAGGUCUAUUAUCCUAUCGGCAACAUCAUAAGCAUCCGGGUACGCUAAUUGCGUGCCCCUCAUGAGGCAGAGAAUUUCAUCAACAUACUGUGGUAUAAGAAGAUAAUUUUAAAAUAGGUUAGUAAUUGUAAAGAAGAAAAACACAGUGGAAAGAUUCUGUUCCAGACGGUUCUCUGAAUCAGUUCACAUAUUACCCAUCUAACGCAACUUGUGCAACAGAUGUGUAUUAUGUUGCAACAGAAUACCCAGCUGUUGUAACAGAUUACACAUCUGCUGCGUAGCUUUUUUUUCAUGAAGUUUAUUGGAAGGAUAGGUUAGCAAAAGUAAACUUACAUUGUCCACGUACCACACACGCAUAUUUGUCAUACUCCUGAAGUCUUGGGCAUCAAAUAAAUGCAUGGUGUAUUCUUCUAGAGGUUUUGUAUCAUCAGUCAUGAUUUUUUAUAGUUCCUUCUGCUCCUCGUCGCCAAGUGUCGCGUAUAUGUCCACCUUCUUCAGCGCCCCUGAACUUCAACAACUUUUGGAAUGGGAGGAGAUGCAAUUUUUUUUUUCACAAUGAAGAGUAUUUUUCUAAUGUUUCUUAUCUUCCUCCUAACCGCCACAACGGCCAUUGUAGGAGUGUAUGGCUCCCUCACCUUUUUGGAUGAAAUGACACCCCUUUUGGAUUCAACUCCUCGACAGCUUCAGCAUUAACCUUUAGUUUUUCAAGGAGUUUAUCUUUUUUGUCCUAGCACACUUUGCAUUUGCAAUAAGAAUAUGAGGGUGAAGAGGGGUGAGAGGGACCACUAUAAGGAUGAGAGAGACCGGUGUAGGGGUGAGAGGGACCUGUGCAAGGGGUGUUUUCAAAUGUAUUUAUAUUUUCCUGAGCACCAACAUGCUCAUAAUUAUGACUGGCAGCAUCAACAGUAUCAGGAUGGCUGCCACCAUCAUCAACAACUCCACCAGCAACACCCUCAGAAGAAGCACCCGGAUUUGUUACCGUAGGUUGGUCAUGAAGAGCUUCAACACUAGGCUGACCUUGCCUAACUGCUCUUCUUAUGGAUGUUGCUCCAGCCAAUUCCUUCUUUAUUGACUCCACCUUUAGGUCUAUUUUUGUAUCAACAAGACCUAGAAUAAUAUAAGAAGUCAUCCCCAACUCCUGCUCAUUAGGCACGAUCCAAGGAUGCACAACCUAUAAAAAAGAAAUGUGGCAUUUAAAUCAUAUAAUAAUAAUUUACAGUCAGUUGGGUUACAUGUUAACAUAAUCAACUUAAGCAACAACGAUCUAUCUGCCGCAACGGCUGAUCUGUAUCUCAUAAUAUAUUGAUAAUAUGUUACAUCAGAUUACCCAUCUGUUGCAUAAUUUGCAGUAGAUGGGUAAUGUGUUGAGUCGGGUUCAGAGAACCAGAGCAACAAAUAGUUAAUCUAUUGCAACAGAUUACCCAUCUGUUACACCAGUUAUAGUUGAUGGGUAAUUUGUUGCAACAGACGACCCAUCUGUCGCAACAGAUGGCACAUCUAUUUCAAUAACUUUCUUUGAGGCAAAAUUAUUUUAGUUAAAAGAAGACAUACUGCAUCAUCUAGAGGGUGAUAGAGAUCAGCCUUCUUAGUAAUUUUUUUGCAGCCCUUUGCAGCCAACCACCUAAGGAUCCUUGGAUGAGAAACCUCAUCCGGAUAAUCCUUGAACUGAUAUUGGAGGGGAGGAAUGAUUUCACAUGCCCAAGCCUAAGAAAUGUAAACAAGAAGCAACAAAAAAAAAUUCAUAAUAACUAUAUUCAAUAUAAAUUAAUGGAUGAGUAAAAAUAGUGAUUGAUUUUACCAUGAAAGCCCAAGGAAAGCCGUAUAAUGUGAUCGUCUUUAAGGAUAAAUUUGUAAGUAAAUAUUUGACAGUCAAGUAGUAGUUGUUAUAUCCCUAGGAAUAAUUGUUGAAUUUAUCAAAAUCAUCUGCCUGCGCCAACAAAUCAUAUUCUAUGACUUUCCUGACAUCUCUUGCCAAUAAAAUGGAAUGGACAAACCAAACGAAACACAAUUUCUCCCUGUAAUGCUGUGGUAUAUUUUUAUCCUUGAGAUCUGCCAUCAAAUCAUCCGUUUUGUAGCUACGUCCAACAAUGCCCAAAAACCUAUCUUUUUUCCCUUACAUUUUUUGGACCUUUUGUGGAGUGUUUCCUUGAUGAGAGAUUCUUCUGAACGAUCGCAUCUCAAGCUCGUCACUAUUGGAAACUCUUUCAAGCUAAAACAAAUUAACAUGACACAGUAGUUGGUCUAGAUUUCAUCAAUCUUUUUUUGCCCUCUUUCGAAUCUUUAUCAUCCCUCGCAUACUUGAUCCUGCGCUUGAGAAAACCAUAUACCAUGCUCAUUGGGAAACGGAGAGUGCGGUCAUCUGGCAGCUUAAUAAAGUAGGUAAAACAGCUCUUCUUAAAAAGUCCGUCUAUAUUUUCACUCUUCAUAAUACUCCUAAAUUCAUCAAAACCUUUCCCCAAUUGACAUUUAAGUACAAGAUCACCAGUUACUUCUUUAGGGCGGUCCAUCGACAUCGCAACUUGAUACCUGUCGAUACUAAUGGUUUUGAUAGAAUCAUACUGAGAUUUUGAUAUUAAUUUACGCCCCAUUGUGAGAAAGAUUUAUCACUUUCCUCAGCUUUAUUUUUCUCUGACUGAGAUUGUUCAGAAAGUUCCUCCGAAUCUAUCUGUACUCUAGGCUUUUUUUUUGGGUGGUCAGAAGUUGAUCCACUUUCAGUUUCUUUUCUUUUGGUAGACAUCUUUUAACUAAGAACAAUAGAAAAAUAAAAAAUACAGUGCAUUUGAUGUAUGCAUAAUUUUUUAUAAAAAGGUAGGACAAAUUUUUAAUAAAUUAUUCAUGCCACAUUACAAAAAAUACUUCAAUGGAUAACCCAUCAGUUGGAACAGAUGGGGAAUCUGUUUGAAGACCUAUUUAAUAGCUCCCAAUAGAUCUUUUACCUGUUGCCGCAGGUGGACAAAUUUCAAUAAAUUAUUCUACUCCACAUAUGGGGAAUCUAUUUGAAGACCUAUUUAAUAUAUCCCAACAGAUCUUCCACCUGUUGCAACAGAUAGACCACCAACACCACAACCAAUGCCGCCACGAAUGCCACCAAGACCACCACCAAUGCCAUCAAUACCAACACCAAGACCACCGACACCACCACCAAAAACAUAAAUACUGACACCACCACCAACAGCCAGCAACACCACCACAAACAUCAUCCAACAAUUCCACGACAGUCAACAAAAUACUGAGACAAAAAUUAGGAUUUUUUGGGUGCUUCCUACUUUUUUAGCAUCAAAACUCAAAAUUGUUAAUCCAUUAUCGAAGAUAAUACAACUAAAAGUUUUGAAGAUAAUACAACUAAAAGUCUUCUUUUUCAUCAUUAACUAAAAAGCCCUAAUUUUUAGAAUAAAGAACAAAUGUAGAACUCUUCUCGAACUAUGUUACCUUCGAAGAUAGAGAAAACAACGGAUACAAGUGAGAAUGAAGUCGACAAUAACAACUAUAUAGUUGUAAAUGGAAAGAAAAUCGAUCUAUUUUGAAGGGUUGAGCAAUAUAUUGAGUAGUUGUUAUCUGUAUUAUUGAGAGAGAGAGAGGCAAAGAUGAGCAAGAACUUCAGAUUUGAAAUGAGGAAAAGUUUUUCACGUAAAUGGAUGAUUUGUAUGGGUUGAUUUGUAAUUUUGAUCUUAUUUAAUUUUUAAAAUUUUAAUAGAUAUAGUUUUUAAAAUAUUAAGUUAAUGAGAACUCAUUUCAAUUCAGAGUGAUCGAUCGACAACUCAGGUGGGGAUGAACGCAAUACCAACACCAUGCAAUUGGAAAGACUCAAUUGAAGUUGUAGUUGACCCUAUGAACUCUUUCAUCCCUAGUUCCACCGAUAUCAAUUUAGGUACUAUCUUAACAUUAAGUUAAUAAGAACUCAUUUCAACUUUGAUUGAUCGAUCGAAGACUCGGGUCGGGAUGAACACAAUACCAACACCAUGUAAUUGCAAAGACUCGAUUGAAAUUGUAGUUGACCCUAUGAACUCAUUCAUCCCUAGUUCCACCUAAAUCAUUUUAGGCACUAUCUUAACAUUAAGUUAAUUAGAACUCAUUCAUCCCUAGUUCCACCUAAAUCAAUUUAGGUACUAUCUUAACAUUAUGUUAAUAAGAAUUCAUUUCAACUCAGAGUGAUCGAUCGACGACUCGGGUCGGGAUGAACGCAAUGCCAACACCAUACAAUUGCAAAGACUCGAUCAAAGUUAUAAUUGAUCCUAUGGACUCAUUCAUCCCUAGUUCCACCUAUAUCAAUUUAUGUACUAUCUUAACAUUAUGUUAAUGAGAAUUUAUUUUAACUCAGAUUGAUCGAUCGACGACUUGGGUUGAGAUAACGCAAUACCAACACCAUGAAAUUAUAAAUACUUGAUUGAAUUUGUAGUUGACCCUAUGAACUUAUUCAUCCCUAGUUCCGCCUAAAUCAAUUUAGGUACUAUCUUAACAUUAAGUUAAUGAGAACUCAUUCAUCCCUAGUUCCACCUAAAUCAAUUUAGGUACUAGCUUAACAUUAAUCUAAUGAGAAUCUUUUCAACUUAGAGUGAUCGAUCAAUGAAUCAGGUCGGGAUGAAUGCAAUACCAAUAACAUGCAAUUACAAAGACUCGAUUGAAGUUGUAGUUAACCCUGUGAACUCAUUCAUUCAUCCCUAGUUCCACCUAAAUCAAUUGCAAUGAAAUUUGUUGCAAUAAAUGACUGAGCUGUUGAAAAUUUUCAAACAGAUAUUCAUAUCUAUUGCAAUAGAUGACAUAUCUGAUUUAAUUAUCAAAUAGACAUUUGCAAUUAUUGUGACAGAUGACUGAGCUGUUGGAAAUUUUCAAAUAAAUAUUGAUAUUUGCUGUAACAGGUAACAUAUUUGAUUUAAUUAUCAAAUGGAUAUUUGCAUCUGUUGUUACAGAUGACUGAGCUGAUGAGAUAUUUAAACAGAUAUUGCUAUAUGUUGCAAUAAAUGACUUAUCUGUUUGAAAAUCUUUUUUUUUCUUUUAAUUUUAAAGCAAACUUCUGUCCGAGUAGAUAAAGUAGUAUUACUAAAGGCGGUAAAAAAUAUUUCUUGGAUAACUCAAAAAUGAGUUCAUUGAGUAGUCUUAUCUUGUCUUUUCAAUAUCACUAGUCUUUCUCGUGCCCCUCAAAUUAUUAAUGAAUAUUGAAACCCAUGUCUACAUAAACAAUACAUAUAGAAUUAUCUCAUCUCUCCUUCAGCUUCAGCCCUAAAUUUAUUUUAUUCAUCUCUCAUUUUUCUUUCUCUCCUCUUUAAGGUUAUCAAAACCUUUUUCUCUCUUUUCUCUUCUCUUCUUCAUAAAGAUCCUUUCAGAACUAAACCUAUCCAUGUCUUUCCUCGACUGAAAUAUUUGCUUUGAUCCCCUUUUGACAUUAAGGUAUGGUUCACUAUUGCUCUUUCAUUUUUGUCUUCUUCUUUGCAAGUUAUUUACAUCUGUUUUUUAUUUAAUUACCAUUUACCCAUAUCAUAUUUAUUUAAAAAAUUUAAAGGAACUUUUAAGUGUUGAAUAAACAAACCGAGAAUUUUUAUUACAAUAUACAAAAAAGUCAUCUAUUGGGAGAAGUUUAAAAGCCUUAUUGGCUAUAUUAUUUUUUUGUAUGUAUUUUAUUUAUUUUUUGUUGUUGUUGAUGCUGUUAUUGGUGUUGUUGAAACUUGUGGUGUGUUGUUGUUGAUGGUGUUGGAACAAAGGAUGUUACUUCUAGUUGUUGAUGGUGUUGGAACAAAUGUUACUGUUUUUUUGUUGUUGAUGUUUUUUAUUUGUUCUUUCUUUGUAGUUUAUGUUGUUGUUGCUAUUACAACAGACAGAGCAACUUUUGAAACAAAUCAAACCACCAGCAAGGAUGAUUUGAUGUAUUCCAUCAGACUCCACAUCUGUUGCAACAGACUCUACAUCUGUUGCAACAAACUUCACAUCUGUUGCAACAGACUCUACAUAUGAUGCAACAGACUCCAUAUCUGAUGCAACAGAUAGAUAAUGUUUUUUCUGUGACAUUAUUUUUUUCCUCUUUUUUAUAGAUAUAAGGAAUUAAAAGUUGAUCAACUUUUGCUCAACCAACACAAGAGGUUGCAGUAAAGAUGGGUUUAAAGGAAUAAGUUGCAUGCAGAUGGAAUCAUUUCAUACGUGGGUGGAAUGUGUUACUGAUAAUGUUAUCAUGGAAACACCUAUAGAGUUCACUAAUUUUUAUGAUUAGUCAUUGAUCAUUCAAAUAAGAUAUCUGUAAUUUUACAGUUAAGUUUGGUAGGUCCGAACUGAUAAGGCUAAGGGACCAUGAAUAUGGUUCUGAUACCUUGGUAAUAUUUAAUGUCGGUUGUUGCUCAUGUUUAUAUGUCAAGCAUUGUGAAGGGAUUUAGUUUUGGUGCAUUGUAAAGAGAUUCAAUAGCGAUUGGACUAACUUUUAGGGUGCAUUGGACCCUCAGAGGGCCUUCAAAGCCUCCCACUACUUCAACCAAGAAUGAAAUCAAUAUAGUUAUUACCCUAGCCCAAAUUUAUAUGGUUGGGUUGCUCCGGGUGAUGAUUAUACGCCAGAAGGUACGGUAGGAGAAUGCCUUCGAGGGAAAAUGGGUGGUUGAUGAAAGACUAUAUCAUCUGAGAGCUAAUUUAAGAGGGUACAUAGGGUAGAAGUAAAUUCUAGUGAAUCUGACCGCUGAAACUAUCAUAAAACAUGAGAAAUUUGUAUCAAGUGCAAAUAUAAAAUUGUAUCCGGUAAUGAAAAAUCCAUCUAUUCUUUCUCUAAGAGAAAAAUAGUGCAAAUGGUCAUUUUUCUAGGGAGUUGCGUUUAGGUAGCGUGGUUGGGAUUAUCACCUAGAUUCUAGAUAAUAGCAGAAGAUUAAGAAAGCAGCCUUACAGGUAUCGAGCGUUGAAAUAAUGUACAGUAAAUCUAAAAAACUUCUGCCAACAGCAACUGCAGUUAAAAUAAGAAAUCUAAGCGAAGACAACAUUUUUUGAAUUUUAAAUUAUAUCCCAUGCCUUCUUGUUUGUGGUUCCAAUUAGGUCCACUGCUGUUGACGUAAUUGGAACCACAAACAAGAUUGAAAGAUUGUUUGAGUGUCAUUACUUCCCUUGCAAUAUGGUUAUAAUUGAUUGUGUUUUCUAGCCUUUGCAUGCUUUCAACAUUUUUUGGAGAAUAUUAGAGGCUUGCUGUAGUAUGUAAAUUUUGAUAAUUUUAAAGCUUGCCUCCAGCUUGCUGAUUUGGUAUUUAAGCUUGUCAUUGCUAUCUUUAAAGUUGGUAUAGAGUUACUGAUCUUUUGUGAGCUCGAUCAGAAACACUAUCUUCGAAGUUGUGGCAUUGUAGAAGCCCUUCAAAACACUUUCUUUAGAAGCUUUAAAGGAUACAUGUAUGGUCGUUGUGUAUGUUUUUAGGUCAAAAUGUGUUGAUGCAUAGUCAAGAUAUGGUCCCAACCGUUGAAUAGAUCACUUUUAUCGAGCAUUUCUCAAUGCAGCUUGCUCAACCAACCUUUAAGGGAUUUGAUAAAUUAAUAAGAAAAGAGUUAUGUAACGUUUGAUCUAAACCGACUCUACCAAGCCUAUCAAACAUUACGUAACUCCAGGCUCAUUACCUUAUCAAAAAGUUUUGCCCGAGUUAGUGGACUAAUCAAACAAGCUCAAUCUCUCAUCCUUUCUGCUGAUCGUUCUUCUCUAAUACAGAUGACAAGAUAUCCGCCAUGCAAAAAUCUAUGUCAUCAGCAGAAAGCUAAAUAGUAAUGUACAAGGGCCACAGAAGAAAAAUUAUCAACUCCUCUGUCUUGCUCAAGUAUCCAAAAAAUAAAAAUUUCAACUCCUCUGUCUUGCACUGUUGAGCUAUGUAUAAGCUUGUUGUACAUUUCAAAUCCUCUGUACAUUACUCAAGAGUGCAAGACAGAGGAGUUGAAAUUUUUCUUUUUCGGAUACUUGAGCAAGACAGAGGAGUUGAUAUUUUUCUUCUGUGGCCCUUGUACAUUACUAAUAAUGUCUGCUGCUGACGGUGUAGACUUUUGCAUGGUAAUUAUCUUAUCUUCUAUAUUGGAGAAGAGCAAUCAGCAAAAAGGCUGAGAGAUUGAGCUUGUUUGAUUUGUCCACUAACUUGGAUAAAGUUUUUUGAUAGAGUAAUGAGCCUGGAGUUAUGUAACGUUUGAUAGGCUUAGUAGAGUUGAUUUAGAUCAAACGUUAUGUAACUCCUUGCUUAUUAAUUUAUCAAAUUCCUUGAAGGUUGGUUGAGCAAGAUGCAUUGAGCAACGCUCUAUAAAAGUGAGCUAUUCAAUGGUUGGGACCACAUCUUGAGUGUGCAUCAACAUAUUUUGACCUAAAAUAAAUACAACGAUCCUUCAAAUAUCCUUUAAGGCUUCUGAAAAAAGUUUUCUGAAGGCCUUCUUCAGUGAAAGGUUUUUGAAGGCCUUCUUCAAUGCCACAACUUUAAAGGAGAAAGUGUUCCUGAUCGAGCUCACAAAAGACCAGAAACUCUAUACCAACUUCAAAGACGGCAAUGACAAACUUGGAUACCAAAUCACAAGCUUGAGGCAAGCUUGAAAAUUAUCGGGAUUCACAUACUAUAGCAAACCUCUGAUCUUCUCCAAGAAAUGUUGAAAUCAUGCUAAGGCAAGAAAACACAACCAAUUAAUCCAUAUUGCUAAGAAAUUAAUGACAUUCAAUUUGUAUUUCAAUCUUGUUUGUGGUUCUGAUCAGGUCAAUAACAGUGGACCUAAUCAAAACCACAAACAAGAAGGCAUGGGAUGCAAUUUAAAAUUCACAAAUUGUUGCCUUUACUUAAAUUCCUUAUUUUAACUGCAGUUGCUGUUGGCGGAAGUUUUCUAGACUUACUGUACAUCAUUUCAACCCUUAAUGCUUGUAAGGCUGUUUUCUUGGUCUUCUGCUAUUUUCUAUCUAGGUUAUAAUCCCGACCACACUACCUAGAUGUAGCUCUCUAGCAAAGUGUCCAUCUAUAUUAUUUUUCUUUCAGAAAGACAACAGACAAAUUUAUAUUAUCGGAUACACUUUCAUAUUUGUACUUGAUUCAGAUUUCUCAUGUUUUAAGAUAAUUUCAUAGGCCAAAUUCACUAGAAGUUCCUUGCUACCCUAUGUCUCUUCUUUAAUUAGCUUUCAAAUGAUAUAGUCUUUCGUCAACUCUCCUUUCCCUCAUAGACAUUCUCCUUCAGCUCUUUUUGGCAUAUAAUCAUCUUCUCAAACAACCCUUCCAUAAAAGUUUGGGCCAGGGGAAUUUCUAUUUGUUUUUCGUUCUUGUUUGAUGCAAUGCGAGGCUUCGAAGACCUUCCUAGAGUCCAAUGCACACUUAAAGUUAAGUCCAAUCGCUAUUGAAUAUCUGCAAUGACACCAAAUAUGGAUUGCUUCUCAAAAGUUGACACGCAUAAACAUGAGCAACAACCGUCAGUAAUUUGUAACAGGGUACUGCACCAUCUUCAUAGGGCCUUCCGCCUCAUCAAUUUGAACCCAUCAAACUUAACGGUACAAUGCAGGAUCUUGUUUGAAUGAUCAGUGCUUAAUCGGUUAAAAACUAUAUUCACAAAAAUAUUAUACUUUGUGUGUGUUGUCCCGAUGACCUUAUCAGUAAUACUUAACUCCCACACAUGACAGUGAAUCCAUCCAUCUGCACGCACCUUAUUCUUUCUAGCCCAUCUAUAGCUUAAAUUGAAUAAAAAAAUGACUAAAAAGUUGCCACAGAUGCCACAUCUGUUUAAAAUGUCAGACAAUUGCAGACAUCUAUUAUGACAGACAAUCAAUCUGUUGCAACAUAAGACAUAUCUGCUGGAAAAAUCAAAUAAAUAUAUCCAUCUGUUGCAAUAGGUUGUCAAUAUGUUGUAAGUUAUCUAACAUAUGGAAUAUAUUUUGCAACAGAUUACCCAUCGGUUAGAUUUUUUUUAAAGCAACUUUCUUUUCUUUUCGAAAUACAAUAAAAGAUAAAAUAUUUUAUUUAGAUCUAUUUUUUUUAAUUUACAUAUUUGAAAAGUCACCGAUUUUAUUUAAGGGAUAUGAACAGUCGUGACUUUUUUACUAACCCCUUUUUAUUCAAUCAUUUAUAAAUAAGUCUCUCCUUACUCGUUCAUCCUACUACACUUACAAAUAUGGCUGAUCCAAAUUCGUACAAGAAGAUUCAUGUCGAGUCCUUGCGGGAACUUCGAACGCUAUUUGAUGAACUCCAUAGGGUUUUGACCGACUUUAGAGCACGGCUGAGAAGGGCCUUGCUGUUGUCGGAUGAAAAUUAUCCGGUUGACAAUAAUAAUAGUAAUAACAAUAAUAAUAAUAAUAAUAAUAAUAAUAAUAAUAAUAAUAGUAAUGAUAAUAAUAAUAGAGUAAUAAUAAUUAGGUUAUGUUUUUUCUUUUAGCGUAUGUAUUCUCCUCCUUUUGUGUAUCGGAUCUACCCAAGGGAUUCAAAAAUCUAUGUUUGGUGGUCGACUUUGAAUUUUUAAUUUUUAUUUAGUAUUUAAUUAUCAUUCUGUUUACUCUUUAUUCUCAACAUAUCGACGGUUGGUGAUAGGGAUUAAGCAUUUGUGACAACAAAGGUUAAUCUGAUGCGACAAAUCGAUCAUAUGUUGCAAUAGACGGUUAUUAAUAAAAAGGAUUAUUGUUGUUAUUAAGAGAGUGAAAAGACAUGACUUUUUGAUUAUUUAAUAUGAAAAAUAGUUCGUAAAUAAAUAAUAAGAAAAUUAAUGAUAAACACAAUUUAUAAUCAUAAAAGAACGAUUAUUUGAUUUUAAUAACUGUUCGUGACUUUUCACCAUUUUUGUUUUUAAAUUUAUUUUUUACAAUUAUUUAUUUAAAAAAAUUUACAAUAUUGGAUUAAUUAACUUAUAUGAUGAUUGUUAAGAAAAAGAUGAACAGUCAUGACUUUUUAUCUAAAAUACAUUUCAACAAACAAUGUUGUUGAUGCAUCAAAUUCCCCAUCUGUUGCGACUGAUGUAUCAACUGUUAGAGAAAAUCAAAAAAGCUAUUAAAAUAGAUUGUCAAUUUGUUGCAACAGAUGGUAUAUCUGUUGUAACUGAUGGUUUAUCUGAUGCAACAGAUAUAUAAUCUGUUGCCAGAACUCAAUAAAAAUGGUUAUUAUUAUUUUAUUAAAGAAACAAUUAUUUAAAAGGUAUUUUUUUAAUUUGUAUAACAAAAAAUUCAGCAAAUUUGGACUAAGAUAUGAUGAUAAUCUUUUAAAAAAAAAAAGAUAGAUUAUAUGUUGCAAUAGAUAGGUUAUCUGAUAUAACAAAAAUAGAAUUUGUUGUCACAACUCAAUAAAAAUAGUUUUUCGAAAGAACUAAUUAAUAAUAAUAAUCUGAAAAGUCAUGAUUAUCACAAUAUUUCUUAAUUUAAUUUAGUCAUAACUUUUCAUAAUAAUAAAAAAUAUAAUUAAUAAAUGGAGGUGAACAGUUAGCUUAUAUGUUGCAACAUAUAGAUUAUCUGAUGCAACAGGUUUUCAAUUUAUUGUAACAGAUGAUCUAUCUGUUGUCACAGAUGAGUUAUCUGAUGCAACAAAAAUAGAAUCUGGUGUCACAACUCAAUAAAAAUGAUUCUUGGAAAGAACUAAUUAAUAAUAAUAAUAUGAAAAGUCAUGACUUAUCACAAUAUUUCUUAAUUUAAUUAAGUCAUAACUUUUCACAGUAAUAAAAAAAUAUAAUUAAUAAAUGAAGAUGAAUAGUCGCGCCUUUUUGUCACUCAUUCAUAUUCAAUCCUCUAUAAAUAGGCCCUUCCUUACUCAAUCGUUCAUUCAAGUACACUAUAUUUAUUUAUUGCAUCUUGUCUUUCAUAUUACACCUUCCACCACUUUUUUUCCCUGACUCAGGUAUAUUUUUUUCUUGUCAAUUUGUAGUAUACGUUGUAUUACAUUCGGAUAUUCUUUUCUUUACUUUUGGUUUUACGUUUUUUGUCAAUUCAUAUGUGUUAUAGAUAUGGCCGAUUCCGGGUGGGAUGUUGCUUUUCUGCAAGACGCCAUGAAUGAAUUUAGGAUGCAGGUUCGCGACCUGCAAUGGAAAUUGGGAGUAGUUAGAGCAAGGAUGAUCCAUGAGAUCCGCAGGCUGAGGAGGAGCUUGCUGCUACCGGUUGAAGAUUGGUCGGCUGAUAAUAAUAAUAAUAAUAAUAAUAAUAAUAAUAAUAAUAAUAAUAAUAAUAAUAAUAAUAAUAAUAAUAAUAAUAAUAAUAAUAAUAAUAAUAAUAAUAAUAAUAAUAAUAAUAAUAAUAAUAAUAAUAAUAAUAAUAAUAAUAAUAAUAAUAAUAAUAAUAAUAAUAAUAAUAAUAAUAAUAAUUAGAUUUUUUUCCUUUUAGUCUAUGUAUAUGUAUUUUUAUUUAUUUUUGUUUAAUAAAAAAAUUAUGUUUGAUCAACUGUGACGUUUUAAUCUAUAUUUAAUUUUCAUUCUGUCUAUUAUCUUCUCAACAAACAUGUCGAUGAUUGGAUAAGGAAUAAUUUUGAAUCCAGUAGCAAUAGCAAGAGUUGAAUGUAAACAUAUUGGUUAUCUGUUGGGUUUGUAGCAGGGGAUGAUUUGUGUUGUUCAAAACAGAUUACUCAUAUGUGCAACAGAUAAGUAGUCUGAUGCAACAGAUAAUCAGUAUAUUUCAACAGAUAAUUAGUCUGUUGCAUGACUUUGACGUUUUAAUUCAUACUCCCUCCAUCUCAAAUUACCCGUCCCAAAUUGAGAUAAAAUAUUGAUUAAGAAAAAUAAUUAAUAACAUGCCUAGUUUACCAUAAUACCCCUAUUAAAUGAUGUUUACAUUUUAAUUUGAAGAAAAAAUAAUUAAUGCAAAGGGUAAAACAUGGAUUUUUUUUUAUCUCUUCUUGAUUAAUGAAAAAAGACAAGUAAAAUGAGAAAUCAAAUUAGAAAAUUUGGGACGGGGGGAGUAUUUAAUUUUCAUUCUGUCUAUUAUCUUCUCAACAAACAUGUCGACGAUUGCACGUAAUGAAUAAUUUUGAAUCCAGUAGCAAUAGAAAGAGUUGAAACAUAUUGAUUAUCUGUUGGGUGUGUGGCAGGGGCUGAUUUGUGUCGUUCCAAACAGAUUAAUUAUUUGUUGCAACAGAUAAUCAGUCUGAUGCAAUAGAUAAUCAGUCUGAUGCAACAGAUAACUAGUCUGUUGCAACAGAUAAAUCUUCUGUUGCAACAGAUUACUCAUCUGAUGCACCAGAUGAGUGAUUUGUUUAAAUUGUGGGCACUUAUGUUGGAUUCAUGAUCGGGUUCUAUCCAUCAUUGGAAAAAAAUAGUAACUGUGUACCCAGAUGACAAAUUCAAAUAAAAAUCAUAAUUUUACUUACCAAAGUCACCUAUGAAGUAAUGUCAAAGUGGAAAGUGAUGUAGGAAAUAAAAUUUGACCUAAGAAAUUGACCAGAUAGCAGCAGUAGCGGUAACAACAACAACAACAAUGGUCGACAAGAAGAAGAUGAAGAUGAU
This 77561-nucleotide long non-coding RNA is filed under the name Capsicum annuum. Its description in RNAcentral is "long non-coding RNA (CANN_LNC003248)". The record is from RNAcentral. Lineage: Eukaryota; Viridiplantae; Streptophyta; Magnoliopsida; Solanales; Solanaceae.